This 78593-nucleotide long non-coding RNA is filed under the name Nicotiana benthamiana. RNAcentral's name for it is "long non-coding RNA (NBEN_LNC033497)". The record is from RNAcentral. Lineage: Eukaryota; Viridiplantae; Streptophyta; Magnoliopsida; Solanales; Solanaceae.
UCUCAAAAAUCAACUAUUAUUCAAAUACUCGGAUGGACUAUUAACUGACUUCAGAAUACAUUAUAUACAAUAGGAUUGCUCAACUAUCAUGUUUAAUCACAUCAUGAGCGAAAAGAAAUAGUAGCAGAGAGAUUAGAGAAGAAGAAGAAGCCAAUAAGCAAUAUGAGCUGAACUUCGUAUACUAUACUACAAACUACCAUAAUAACUACGUCUCAAUUCUAAAUUUAUUGGUACCGGCCGCUUAUAUGAAUUCUCACAGUUUCAUGAUAAUUAAAAAAAAAGGCUAAAAGGUUAGCCGGUCAAUAAGAUCUUUGAGAUUGAUGAGCCAACUAAAUUGGUUUGGCUAUUCUUUUCUAUUGAAAAGAAGUCACGUGUUUGCGCGAGUCGCCUUCUUCUAGGCUCCAUUGGACAACAACUUUUAUCCCAAGAAAACUCUCUGCAUCUUAAAAUCCAACAUAGGGAGUUGGAAGAAUGGAUUGUGUUGAAGGGGAUGACGGAGAAUUAGAAUUGUCUUUAGAAAUAACAAUACCAACUGUAUCUACAACCACAGCCACAAACUCUAUCGCCAUUUUCACCAUCUCUAUGCAUAUCUCUAACCUCUGAAUCACCAUUAUCAAGUCUCCGCGUAUUUUUCUUGGUAUAAUAAACAGGCUUUUCUCUUUAUAUAUAUAAGUACAAGAAACUCCUCCAAGUUUUUAGAAAACAAAGAAGCUUUUGUUAAUCUGGCCUUUGGAAAACCCCAAGGGACACAACAAGAAAAUUGGAAUAGUUUCAAACCUUGUGAAUGAGACACUUUGGCAACCUUAUCCAUUUAUUGCAUGGCCAUUAAAAUAAGAAAUUAAUUGACCAUUGUGGCCAUCGCAAGGACACGAGACAAGUGGCCUUUCUUUUAUUGCAUGUAGUAGCCAUACACGCAUCAACGUUUUGGGAUUUCUUAAUAUGUAACUUAAUAUGCCUUUGAUUUGUGAUUAAUUAGGAAUGGGUUCGUUCACUUUGUGGAAUAUUCCAUUAGUUUGAUUUUGCUUACAAGAAUAAUUCCCUACCUAAUCUUAAACUUUAAUCUGCUUGUUGCCAUUAAAUAGUGGGAAAAAUGAUACUGUAUAGUCGUUAUAGAAAUAAUAACCGAAAAUAUAUAUAUAUAUAUAUAUAUAUAUAUAUAUAUAGAUAUAUAUAUGCACUCUUUGUUAAUCUGGCCUUUGGAAAACCCCAAGGGACACAACAAGAAAAUUGGAAUAGUUUCAAACCUUGUGAAUGAGACACUUUGGCAACCUUAUCCAUUUAUUGCAUGGCCAUUAAAAUAAGAAAUUAAUUGACCAUUGUGGCCAUCGCAAGGACACGAGACAAGUGGCCUUUCUUUUAUUGCAUGUAGUAGCCAUACACGCAUCAACGUUUUGGGAUUUCUUAAUAUGUAACUUAAUAUGCCUUUGAUUUGUGAUUAAUUAGGAAUGGGUUCGUUCACUUUGUGGAAUAUUCCAUUAGUUUGAUUUUGCUUACAAGAAUAAUUCCCUACCUAAUCUUAAACUUUAAUCUGCUUGUUGCCAUUAAAUAGUGGGAAAAAUGAUACUGUAUAGUCGUUAUAGAAAUAAUAACCGAAAAUAUAUAUAUAUAUAUAUAUAUAUAUAUAUAUAUAUAUAUGCACUCUGUAUGUUAUAUAUAAAAAUUAUAUAAAUUUUAUACAUUUGUUUUACUAUUAAAUGUAAAUAGUUUAUGACACAUAGUAAAAGUAAUAUUCCUCAUUAGUAUUUAUUGAUUGAUGAACUUUCUAGGUAAAUAUGAAUUCUCAUAAGACAAAUGUUUGGAACAAAAAAGGUUCGCGUUAAGCAAUAUAGUAAUAAUGUAUUACUCUAUGGUCAUAGUAGUACUCCCUCUUAUCAUAUUAAUCUAUUCUCACCAUAUUUAUUUAAAUAAUUUCUACAUUUGAUGUUGAUUGUGUUUGGCAAACGCUUGAACGCAUGAUCUAUGUGUUUAUACUUUUCGUUGAACAAUUCCUGUUUUAAUUAAGUAAUCAGUCUGCAUGUAAUUUUUGACCCACAAAAAUUUUAAAGUUAGUUUUAGUAUUUUAAUAAUAUUUAUUUGGGUUAUUAGUUUUAGUAUUUUAAAAAUAUUUACUUGGGUUAUUGUACAAUAUUAGUCUCUUUUACUUUUAGUUUAAAAUCAAAAAUUUAAAAACACAAAAAUAUUUUUAAUUUGCCUUAUUUUAUAUAUGUUUGUUUUUGUUUUUAUUUAUAUUCAUCAGUAUAGUUAUACUAAUACUAUCAUAAGUCUUCCAUGAUUUUUAUAUUCCUAUUUUUAGUAUAAUUUUUAAAAAUAUAAAAAUAAUUUUAUUUUAAUUUGAUUUCAGUUAAAAUCAAUUGUUAAUUAUAUUUUAUUAUUUGUGUUACUUUUAUUUUUAUCUCUCGAAAAGAAAAAUGAAUCUUGGGUCAAUCUUGUAUCUUUAAAGGUCCAAUUUUAGGCUCAAAUUUCCCAGGCCCACAACCCGUCAGAUUUUUUGAACCUUAAAGAGCUAACCUUAGACUUCAUCUUCUUCCUCAACCAUAAGAGAACAAGACAAGGAGAUAUGGAGUUAACCCUAAUUACUUAGUCUUUUUCUUCACCUUGACAAAAACCCCAGGAACUGAACCUAGAAGAACAACCGCCGCCCCCAGCCUUAACUCGUCGGAAACCAGCCGCCGCCGCUUCUUCCUUCGUCUCCACCUUCAGCACAACAAAACCUAACCUCCAAAAACCCUAAUCCUCUAAGUAGCCGCCCACCAUAGCGAAACCCUAAGAGCCCAGCAGCCGUCUUUUUCUUCGGCCUCACUGGCGCAACAACUGAACCCUAUCCCCCUUAACCAAAACUGCCGGACCAUCUCAACUCACACCCGCCGCCCCAGCCUCUAACCAGCCAGACCUGUUUCCAGAACCAGCCGCCAGCCUUAACCCGCCGACCAACUGACCCCAACCAGUGACCCCUCACACCAAACAACACACCACCCGUCCUCCUCCACAUGCCACUGCUCCUCCCCUCACACUCUCCUCUCACCCAUCGAUAUCAACACACACACAGUAACAUACAGUAGAGAGUGACGAGAGGAAAAGUUUAGUUCAAAUUCAAUUUCGUCGUUGUCUGUCGCUUUUGGUCUUAGUUAUUUUAUCGAGCUGAACCGUUCUUCUUGAGGUUGUCGAUUAAGGUUUCCGGUGCGAGGAUUUAACAUUCAGUUGAGUUUGUUUUAAUCUUCUUUGUCGUGACUCGGGAAAUCUCGUUUAAUCAAUUUUCGCAUCAUUUUUGGGUUAUUUUAAGCAUGAUUUGUGGUUGUUCAUUAUUAUUGUUGCUAUUGCAAAGUUGUUGGAUUCCAUUUUCAAGUUUCUUAAGCUAUAUUUGGGCGAGUUAUGUUGGUUUCAAACUGUCGAGCGCUGCUAUCCCGUUUGGAAAUUGUUUAGUUGAGCCUUAUCAUUUUUUUGCUUAAGAGCUUUGCCAUCAAGCUCGUAUUGGAAUUUUAGUUGGAGUGUGCUUGGAUUUGUUGACUCGUGUUGGUUCCGGUUCGAGUUCAAGGAUUACGAUCAGCUUAGAUCAAAUUAACGCCGAAAAGGUUCUCGCGCUCGUUGAGGUUCAACUCUUCAGCCUUUACUCAUUUUAUCUAGCUGAAUGUUAAUUGCUUGUUUGGUGAUUUGAUUCUAGGAUUUGUUUAGCUAUUGUUUCCGAUUAUGAGUUUGUUCAUUUAGUUAUCUGUUCAUGUUUACUCGAAUUGGUUAUAAUUGAAUAUGAUUUUAUCACUUUAUAACUUGGGUUGUUGGAUAAAAAGUAAAAGAAAUUUAGGUUCAAAAUAGUAAUAUUACCCUUUUAUUCUUGUUUUAUUUAUUUUGAAGUCGUCAGGAGCAUUCUUAGGCCGUCAUCACUUGGGUAGGCAAGCCUUAGGAUUUUUGGUUGUUUCGCAGCGAGAGGUUGUUCCUUUAGUUAAUUUUAUCGGGGGAAUUCCCUGAAGGAUUUGUAUAUAUUUUUAUCGAGGGUAUGCCCCAAAGUACUUGUAUUUGGAGGCCUAAAGUGGAACUCAUGGUAUUUUUAUUUUAUUUUUAUUUUUAUUUUUCUUUCAUUAGACGGGAACGACCUCGAGCCUCCUUCGUGUUUGGUUUCCCCUUUUCAGUGUUUAUUACCUUAAUUAAAUAUUUUAGAGCCAACUAGAUCGAAUACGCAACCGGACUAGUUACGGGAUUUGGGAGUGCCACUAACCAACCGAGUCAGAUGAAUUCCCUUACCCGAAUCACAGGUGCAGACUUAGUUUUGGAGUCUCAAGUGGUUUUGAAAGGAAAAAAAUUAUUUUUUUAAAAAAAACGGUGAUCUGACACACCAAAAUCAAAUGUCAGGUGGCGACUAUGAGUUUAUUUCCUUUUGAACAUAAUUUUUGUCACUUUCAAAAUCGAAAAACUCUUUAAAUCUUUACUUAAUCUUUUUUAUUUAUUAAGAGGGUUAAGUGAAGCUGGUUAGAAAGAGGGUGUGACAUCUUUGGUGACUUUGCUGGGAAAUUACAGGUUCGAACUAGUACUUGAUCUUAUUGGAUUUUUAGGAUAUUCGGUUGAGGUUCGUAUGUGUUUAGUUUACUUAUUUGAAUUUAUUUUGUUUAUGUCAUUUAUUAUUUGCUAGUCGCUUAUUUAUUCACAGUUUCUCCUUAUGUUUUAUUGCUUUAUAAACUGUCAUCAUUUGUAUAACUAUGGGUCUUCUUUCUGCAACAAGUCUCGGAUUACACAUCACGUUCACGAACUCUUCGUUGAGUCACCCUUAAUUUAGGAGGGGGAUCCGUCGGACGUAUGGAGCGAGUGAAAAUCUUGAGCAGCCAUCAUCGACCAUACGCUCCCCCGAAUUUCCUUGUUAGUGAACCCCAAACUUAGGUUAGCCUUUAGGUCAUUUUUAUUUGCAUCAUGCCAUUUAUACCUAGUAGGGCUCGGUCUCAUGCACCGUGUCUCUUUCUAAGAAGCCUAUCCAAAUUUUAUCAAAAUGGGCCCGUGGCCCAAAAAGACAUUCAAUCAUCCCUAUGUGAUACGUGUUGCAUCUGUGAGGAUAGAAAAGGUCAUUUGAUGGACUGAUGCUUUGGAAAGAAGGGUGAAAAACGAAGCAAGUAGGGCCUAGUUAUAUUCUUUGUACUACUUUUUCAAAAAAAAAAAGACAAAAAAAAAUGAAAAAUCCAAAUAGAGAUUUUACCCUCUUCCAUUAUUUUCUAAAAAUCCAAAAAAAUAAAAAAAUAAAAUCUAAAAAGAUUUUACUCUUUGCCAUUAUAUUCCAAAAAUUCAAAAAAAAAGUGCAAAGAAACCAAAAUGAUUUUAUAUUUUUCAAAAAAUCAAAAAAAAAAAAACAAGGAGAAAAAGAAAAUUUUAAAAGAUUUUACGUUUUUCAUCAUUUUUCAAAAAGACAAAAAUAUAGUCUUUUUCAAAUUAGUUGCAUCUUCCCGAACUAUGUAAACCUGAUUCUCGUCUCUCGGGGCGAGAUAUGUAAGGAAAACCACAUAGGAUCCGAUCUUCCUAGUGAGUCUUAGGUUCUUGGCUUCGCAGGGUCUUAGGCAAAUCUUGCAUGCCUCUUUUGGCCAUUCUUGCGAAAUGAGGUUAUUUUUGCAAAAGUGGUUCAAUUACCCUUAUCUUAGGAUCUUAAUUCCAAAACUAGGUGUCAUAUUACUUUAAAGUCUGUCCUUUUUGAGUUUGCAUCUUUAGCCACUUCUGGCCAUAUCAGCCAUUUCGCGAAACUGAUCAUUUCUGCAAAUUAAGUUUUUGGGCCAUAAAUUGCGAGUUGAAUCCAUAUAGCGUUAGUAAGGUAUUUUCAUAUCUGAGUAGUCACCUUUGUUGAUUUUGCACUUAUAGCACUCUUGGCUACGUAGGUUAAUUUUUAAAAAUGGCCCAAUUGUGUCUCGCAUGUGUCCAACAAGAGGUGUUGUGGUGUCGCAUAGUGUCCCGAUUCACUAAUAUAUUUGGUCUUAUUUUUCUCAUUCAGGUAUGAAUUCCAUUUACCAUAACUCGAGUGUAACAGAUACCUCUGCUUAAGGAGCCUUUUUAUAUUUUGAGUCUGUUUUCAUGUUUUCUCUUACUUGUCUUGUGCAGUAGUAUUUAGUCAUGUAGUUGGUGUUAGAGUUGUCGUAGUAUAGUUUAGUUUGUUGGGUCUCUCAUUAUCGUACCUCUUUUUUUGCAUUUGAAAAUCUAACAAAAAUUAUUGAAUGAAAAUUCCCAAAAGAUUUUGUUUCUUAGUUUAUUUAUCCAUUAUUUUUUCAGAACUACUAUUGAUCUGAUUCAUGAGGGACAUGAUAAAUAAGCAACCUACAUAGGGUUCGACCGAAUUAUAUUUUUUUUUAAAAAGAUGAAAUUGGGGAUGUGAGAAGUGAGAGGAAAGAAAAGAGGGGGAAAUAAAUGAAAAGCCAAUGGUGUUAGAAAGGAAAAUGAAGAAGGAAAUAGGGCAAGAAGAGUGAAAUUGGGAUGAUGACAUAUGACCUUCGUACCCUCGAAGCCAUUUUAGAACUGUUAACUGUGACUAGGGGCAUCACACGCAAUGUGAUAUUUCUAUUUGAUAAAUGCUCUAACGCUAACACGUUGGCUUAGUUUGCUCCUCUUUGUUACUUUCAUUGUUAUUAUAACAGAGGGCGGUUAGUUUGUGGCACUUUGGUGAUUCAUCCAUACAACACCAAAAAGCAUAAGUUAGUCAUGGCUAGCAAUGAAACAGACAUUAAGAUUGUACACCCACCAAGGGAGAUUGUAGAAUCAGAAUUGAAACUGAAAGAGGAGGUCCGAAGGUUGAAAUAACAGAUGUCAGGAAUGUACCAGUCUUGGGUCGGGGACAUCCUCCACUUUCAUUCCCCACUAACUACACUGAAAACCCUACAACUAUCCCGCCACUAUCACAAGCUCAGGUUACCACUACCGAUGAACUUUCCCCUCAAAAUGCACCGGACUUUACCCCUUACCACAAUUACCUUGGAACUUCCCCCCAAACUUUCCAUGCUCCACCAUCCAAAACAACCGCAUUUCCAGCUCUAGAUACCUAAUAUUAUGCCCCGGAACCCACCUUCAAAGUCCCAGAUCCUUACUCCUACACUCCUCACUUUGAGUCUCAUGUUCAAAUGGAUAAAUCACCAAAGAACGCGGAGCAAGAGGAUAUAUUUAGGAAGGUAAAGAUCCUAGAACAAUCGUUGAGAAAUAUGCAAGGGUUAAGAAGCCAAGCGAGUGUGUCUUAUAAGGAUUUGAGUUUUUUCCCUGAUGUUCUACUACCUACCGGGUUCAAGAUGCCCAAGUUUGACUUGUAUGACGGACAUUGGGAUCCUGUAGCUCAUCUGAGAGGUUAUUGCAGUAAAAUAAGAGGCGUUGGGGGAAAAGACGAAUUAUUAAUAGCGUACUUCAACCAGAGUCUGAGUGGGGAAACUCUAGAAUGGUACACUAGCCAAGACACUGGCAGGUGGUACACGUGGGACGAUUUAGCUCAAGCCUUUGCUCGGCGUUUUUAGCACAUCAUAGACAUUGUCCCGAAUCGCCUAUCCCUGACCAAGGUUGAAAAGAAUCCCGCUGAAAGCUUUAAAGAAUAUGGGUUCCGAUAGAGGGAGCAAGUUGUACGGGUCAAUCCUCUAAUGGAAGAAGAUGAGAUGGUUGAAUACUUUCUUCAAGCCUUAGAGCCUACUUAUUUCAGACCUUUGAUCUCAUCCAUUGGUAAGACUUUCAAUGAUGUAAUAAAGAUGGGAGAAAUGGUGGAAGAGGGACUGAAGUCAAGCAAGAUCAUGAGCUAUUCUGCCUUAAAUGCCACAACACAGGCAAUUCAAAAUGACAUAGGAGGAUUUCCGGGUCAGAAGAAAAAGGAUGAUGCUGCCAUAGUUGUCUCUGGAUCACGACAUGGCCCCACGUGUACGCCUCACCAAUAUAUUCAGCCUCGACCCCAACCCUAAACCUAUCCUCGAGCUCCACAUAAUCCAUCUCAACAUUAUCCUCCGAACAACAUCUAGUCAUUUGUUCAACCACUGGGUUACGCCUUAUGGCGAGCACCAGCAUCGCAAAAUUCUCUUUCGCUUUCACAAAAUUUUUGAGCACCCAGAAACCCAAGGAAACAGGGGCAUAGAGGGCAACAAAGGCAAAGAAAUUGUUUCACUCUAAUCGGAGAAUCCUACACAAGUUUGUUUAAAAUUUGAAAGAAUCCGGCAUAGUUGAGCCGUUCAAAAUGACAUAGGAGGAUUUCCGGGUCAGAAGAAAAAGGAUGAUGCUGCGAUAGUUGUCUCUGGAUCACGACAUGGCCCCACGUGUACGCCUCACCAAUAUAUUCAGCCUCAACCCCAACCCUAAAGCUAUCCCCGAGCUCCACAUAAUCCAUCUCAACAUUAUCCUCCGAACAACAUCUAGUCAUUUGUUCAACCACUGGGUUACGCCUUAUGGCGAGCACCAGCAUCGCAAAAUUCUCUUUCGCUUUCACAAAAUUUUUGAGCACCCAGAAACCCAAGGAAACAGGGGCAUAGAGGGCAACAAAGGCAAAGAAAUUGUUUCACUCUAAUCGGAGAAUCCUACACAAGUUUGUUUAAAAUUUGAAAGAAUCCGGCAUAGUUGAGCCGCUCCUCGACUAUACUCCGGACUCAUAUACAAAAGGUUUUGAUACUGUACGAUGCAUGUCCCACUCCAAUUUCCAAGGGCAUAACAUUGAAGAUUGUCGUGCUUUGAAAAGGGAGAGAGAAAAAAUAAUUCAACAAGGGAUAAUUGUGGUCCAGGACUGUUACACCCAGAACAUUCCACAGAAUCCUUUACCUGCACAUGAUGAUGUGUACUUUAUGGGAAAGAAGCAUGGUAAUAGGGAGUAUGAGAAUCUUUUUGGGAACUUACUGGCGGAAGUUAAUAAUAUUGAAAUUGGUAAAGGUCCCAGUAAUUUUGAUGUGCAGUCUAGUGGCUAACGAGCUUGUAAUUGAAAAAGGAUUUUUGGUAGUUUAUUUUGUUGUCAUUUCUGUUUGUCCGGUUUUUCAGGGUUGUAAUUAAGAUAUUAUCUUGUGGCUCAAGCUUUUCUUCUUCUCAUUUUGUCUAGUUCGUUUAGUUGUAGUAACUCAUAUAGUAUUAUUUAGGAGUGUUCUAGGGUUGUAACCCAUGUCUAUUUUGCUCGUCUUGUUCAAACCAUUUUCAUUAUCUAUCUAAUGCAAUCUCCUACUUUCUGUUAGUUCUAGUCAAUUUUGUUUAGGUCAUUUUUUACUUUUAUAAUUUUUUUCAUGCCGACUCUGGCGACAUGACAUGCACACGUAAUUCUCAGCAUGAUCUUGAAAUUUAUUCUAAUAAUGAAGAAAUGGCACAGUUUUGAAUAUGAUAAAAAGAGGAAUUUGAAGAAAUAAGUAAAGAUUCAUGCAUUCCGAGAUAACCUGAAGCUUGAAUUGAGUGAAACUGAGGCAGUUAGUUUGGAAAAUUAAGAUGUUGAUAAGAGCAUACAAUAUAAAAAUGUCUCUCAAGCAGUUUGAAGUAGAUAAGUCAGUGUUGAAAUGCAUUCUUCCACAUCAAGAUAAGGUUGAGUUAAAUCUUCUUCGAACUGGGCAGGAUCAUUCAUUGGGACAAAGGUAUUGCCCAUCGGCUCUUUUUUUUUUGUUGAUGUCAUCAAUAGAUACUAUGUAUGAUUUCUUUACUUAUAUUCAAUUGCGUGUUUGUACUCGGCAUUUUUAGAGCUUGGUAUGACGAAGACAUUUUAUUAUGCUACCUAAACAUUUUUGUCUUUUGCUACCCCUUUGAGCCUUAACUUGUUUUCUUUCAUACACCUCUUUUGGAAUCAGAAAUAGAGCUAGGAACUAGAAAAGAAAAAGAAAAGAGAAAAAGGAAAAAAAAGAAACGAAAAAGAGAAAAAGUAAAAAAAAAGGAAAAGAGAAAAAGAAGGAAAAAAGAAAAAAAUGAAAGAAAAAAGAGGAAAAAGAAAGAAAAGGAAAAGAACAAAAAAACCAACUUUGUGUUUAAACUACGUUUCACUAGAUUUUUGUCACCUAAAGAUACGUAGGCAGCCUUAUGGUUUAGCCACACCAAAUAAAAUAUUUCAUAAUCCCCCGAAGUCGAGAGUGGGGCAAAUUUUCUUAGAAAUCCCAAAAACAAUUAGCAGACUCCAGAAAUAAGGGAAGAAGUUUUAAUUUUGCCAAAAGAUUUAAUUCCAAAAGUUGUAAUUUUGAACCCUUUCAUCUUAAAUUAUUUUGAGCCUUCAUGCCAUCCUUUCUUUCCAACUCUGUCCAAAAGCCUACAUUGCGGUCCAAAAAAAGGCAUUUCGAUCAAUCUUUGAGGAUGUCAAAUCAAGUGCGUGAUAAAAGUAUGAUCUUCCUACAUCAUGGGUAAUGCCUUGUUCUCAUCGCAAAGAGAGAAAAUGAUAAAUGAGAGAGUCUUAUCGGCGAAAACCCUCAUGGCACCAUAAGGCGAAGGUAAUUGAGAAAAAGAGAAAAAUGAGAGAAGCUUGAUGGUGAAAACCCUUCAGGGCACUACAAGUCAACUGAGGAUUGUGGAUCAAAUGAGACAAUUGGAGUGCUGAAAGCCAGUUUCACAGCUUAGAGGCAUAAAAAGAGUUGAACAUUAGACUUCCUUAAUAGAUUAGGCCACUUUAAUCCAAAAUGCAUGUCACAGUUAUUAGAGUUGGUAUCUACAUCUGACAAGUUUCUACUCGGUGAUUUUUUUGUUAGAUGUCAUCGCUUUAUGUUGUCCCAUUAACUCUGUUAUUCUUGCUUUAUUUAAGUCGUCUAGAGUCUGUUUUAUCUGAACAAGUAAAGAAAUGACUUCAAAAUACUUUCAGCUUUUCAAUUGCACAAAAUGGAGUCUGGCUAGCACAUCAAAGUGGCAUAAGUAAGGAAAGAAAAAUAUGAGCAUUAAAUUUCGGUAGUAUUGAAAUAAUGCUCGAGCAGAUGAUUAAGAAGAACCAAGGUUUCGAUGCUCAGUUGGGUUCUCACAAUACCUCUAUCUGGAUGUUGGAAGUGCAAUUAGGCCAAAUCUCGUAAGCUUUGAACACUCGCCCCAAGGGUGCUCUACCAAGAGAUACAGUAGUAAACCCAAAAGGUGGUAACAACAACCAUGUGAUGGCAAUUACAAUAAGAAGUGGGAUAGGUGGUGAUGUAAAUGCCUCAAAGCAAAAGAAAAUUGUGGAUGAAAAUGUUGAGUUGCAAGAUGAUGAAGUGUCUUUGGUUGUUGAAGAGGUGGUUGAACAGAAUAUGAACAAUGAUGUGAGGAUUGACAGUGAGGAGGCCGAAGUGGAAACUCAAGAUGUCGUGAACCCAUCUAGGGAACACGUGAUUAACAUGCUCGAGCCGGUUGUGCCAAAAGCCAAGGAACCCUUGAUUAGACCACGUCCACCUUAUUCUCAAAGGCUCGCAAAGAAAAUCAAUGAUAAUCAAUUCAAGAAGUUCAUUGAUAUGAUGAAGAGCUUGUCCAUAAAUGUGCCGUUGGUGGAAGCUCUUGAACAAAUGCCGGAAUAUGCAAACUUUAUGAAGGAUUUAGUGACAAAGAAGAGGUCUAUGGAUUGUAAAACAAUAAAUAUGACUCGCGAAGUGAGUGCUAUAGUGCAUUCAAUGGCACUGAAGCUUGAAAACCCCAGAGCUUUUACUAUCCUUUGCACUAUUGGGAGUGCGGACUUUGUCAAAGCUUUAUGUGACUUGAGAGCUAGUAUCAAUUUGAUGCCUUACUUAGUUUUCACGACUUUGAGUAUCAGGCAACCAGACCAUCUGCAAUGAGACUUUAAAUGGCGGGUCUAUCAAUGAAGGGACCUUUGGGAAUUAUUGAUGAUGUGCUUGUCCGGAAGGACAAAUUCAUAUUAUCAGCCGACUUUAUUGUUUUGGAUUGUGAAGUGGACUAUGAGGUGCCUAUUAUCUUGGGUAGACUUGUCCUUGCAACGGGAAGGAAUUGGUUGAUGUUGAAGAGAGUGAUCUCACUUUACAAGUGGGUGAUGAAAAGGUCGUCUUCCAUGUUUUCAAAUCCAUGAAGCAACCCAAUAGCACCGAGGUGUGCUCAUUUGUAGACCAUGUCACAACUGUGAUUGUGGAUGAUACUAUUCUAUUUUCAACGUGGAGGAUCAUCUUGAGGCUGUGCUACUAAAUAUGGAUGUUAAUGAUGAUUCAAGCAGAGGGGAGUGCGUGAAUGCCUUACAUGGGAUGGGCUCUUAUUCUUAUGAGCCAAGAAAAUUAUCUUUGGAUCUUGAAAGCCGAAAACUCCACCAACAAAGCCAUCAACUGAGGAGCCACCGGUGUUGGAGUUGAAACCACUUCCUCCACACUUCAAGUAUGAACUCUUGGGCUCAGACUCUACUUUACCAGUUAUUCUUUCAUCUUGCCUUACUAACAUGUAGGUUGAGGCCACUUUGGCAGUGCAUUCAAAGCAGAAAAGGGAAACUGGAUGGACUCUAGCUGACAUUCGUGGAAUAAGCCCCGUAUUUUGCAUGCACAAAACUAUCUUGAAGGAUGAUGCAAAGCCUUCCUUGGAGCAUCAAAGAAUAUUGAACGAGGCUAUGCAAGAUGUGGUGAAGAAAGAGGUGAUCAAAUGGUUGGAUGUCAGGGUUAUGUACCCCUUUUUUAAUAGCUCGUGGACUUCUCCAGUGUAAUGUGUACCAUAGAAGGGUGGUAUGACUGGGUGACCUAUAACAACAAUGAUCUUUAUUCCUACUCGGACAGUCACCAGAUGGAGAAUAUGCAUGGAUUACAGGAAGAUAAACAAGGUGACCCAAAAGGACUAUUCCCCAUUGCCAUUCCUUGACCAAAUGCUAGAUCGUCUUGCGGGGCGUGCUUUUUAUUAAUUUUGGAUGGAUAUUCAGGGUGUGAGCACGUUAUUUUAGCCUCGCUCGAAAUAUUCCUAUAGAAUUCUUAAAAUUAGGAUUUUUCUGUUGUUGUUUGAGUUUUCAGGAAUUAAUUGCAUGAUUUUACGUUUAUUUGCAUUUUUUUGCAUUUUAAAUUGAUAUAAUUCAUAAAAAUACAAAAACAUCAUGUUUGCAUUUAGGACUUAAUUGUUACAUUUUUUAGGUUUAUUAGGUAAUUAAUGUUUAAAAAAUUAAAAAAUAAUAACAAAAAGGGUCACUUUUACAUUUGUUUAGUUUUCUUUUCCAAUUUGGGAUUAGGUUAUUUUUAGAAGUUAAUUAGUUUUCGUGUAAAAUUUAAAUUGGUUUUUGCCUUUUAUUUUUUACUUUACUUGAUAAAAUCUGGAAAAAUAAAAAUAAAAAGAGAAUUUAUUAAAAACCAAAAAAAGGAGUUAAGUAAAAAGAAAAAAAGAAUAAAACAAAUAAUUUCUUUUAGUCUUAUUAGGAGACCUGAAUCGGGACACUAUACACCUAUCUAUCUAGUCCAAACCCCUCUAACCCACCCCAAACCCGAUCCAAAAUGGUGAUGCUUGAAACAACGUCAUUUCUACACGAUCAAUCAGGGCCAUUGAUGACCUUUGAUCAAUGGAUAUGAACUGCCUAGGUUUUAAAUAUAUAAGUGUCGGAAUCCCCCACCCCACUCCUCCAAACCCUCUCUCAAACACCCUUGAAUACACCGAUGUAUCACCGCCGUAUAACCUCCGUCCUGCACCGUCUGCCGGUGGUCGGUCUCCAAUGAGCCCCAAAUUAAUACCCUUUACUCCUCUUCUCCUCCUCUUUCCAGCCCCUAAACCACAACCCUCGAAUAUUAACCGAUUGUCUUGAAUAUUAGUUCAAAGAUUCGAAUAGUCCGCCAUCCACGGUGGCGAUGGCUCAAAUGGCCACCAAUAAUACACCAAAUGUUCUCUUUUCCAUCCUCUACCCAGAUUUGAAUCCUUCCUUCCUCGAAUCUCCUUUGAACUUGUCGUAUAAGUUAAAAUAUAGUUGUCGCUUCCACCGCCCACGACGGAGUUACCUCCAAACCCUCCCAGAUUUACACCCCUAAACCUCCUAGGCCUCCUCUUCCCAUUUCUGUGACUCCCUUGGCUUGAAUACAACCCAAUCAUCUCGAAUCUUCAUUCAAACGACGGCUGCUCCACCGUACAUGGAGACGUCGGUGCCCAAACUACCUCAAAUAAACACCCAACAACCCUUGACUUUACCUCAUCCUAUAUCCACGUCCUAUUCCCUUUAAAUAGCCCUAGGAUUGGCCGAACAUCAUACUAAAAAGUUGACCCAAUCGAUGCAUGGUAGAUUCAAUACAUUUUCUAAUUGAAAAAAAGCUAAGUGUUUCGUUUCCUGUACUUUUGACUACUUGUUCAUUUUAUUUGCUUCAAAUUGAUUCUAGCUUAGGUAUUUCAUCUCUUCAUCAUAUGCUCCUUCUUUCCUGCCUCUCUCCUUUGUUUCUUUGGUCCAACUGUGAAAUUGAUAGUUGUGUUGCGAGAUUAAAUAAAACCAAUAGGCUUCUUCUUGUGCUUUCAAUCUUAUUUUGUUCUUGUCUGUUUCCUGUGAUUGUUUUUAGUUUAAUUUGCUCUGAUUUGGUUGAUCCUGCUUACUUCGAUUGUUCGUUUAAUUUUGGCAUUUAUUUCAUCGAUUUUGAUUUCCCAGUAGUUUCUUGUUUUGUUACUAGUUUGGCUCUUAUUAGUUCUUUUAUGUGUUUUUUAUAUAAUUUAGUUCUGAUUUGGUUGAUCCUGCUCAUUCUGAUUGUUAGCUUAAUUUUGGCAUUUGUUGCAUUGAUUUUAACCUCCUAGUAGUCUCUUAUUCUGUUACUAGUUUGGCUCCUAUUAGUUCUUUUAAUAAUAGCUGAAUAAGGAUUUGUGGAGUUUGGAUAUAAUCAAUUUAAUUAAGGUAAAGGGGGUCAGCUGAUAUAGUUUGAGUAAUUUCAGGGUAGUUCAGGGGUAGUACAGGUAUUGUGAGUUAGGGAAUCUGGCAUUCAACUGACUUUGUAAACCUCUAAGACAUUCGAGGAGGGGUUCCAAUCGUAUUUUUGAGAUAACAAUGUUAUAACUUGGCCAGCAAGAAAAUCUAGGACUAAGUGAAUAAAAUUUAAAAAUAAAAGGGGACUAAUGGGUAAACACAAAAUAAGAGGGUUUCCCUAAGCUUUGAUUAUAAAAUAGCACCCUAAUGCCUUCAUUGACAAGUUCCUGGCAGAUUGAAAUCCCUGAAAAACUUCCCAGGACUUCUGAACUCUGAAAAUCAUAAAACAAUUCCUUAAAAUUUCCAGGAAAUCCUGAAAGAUACCUAGGGUCUAAAUUUCACAUAAUGUUAUUUCAUUAGAGUGUCUUCUUCAUAAUUAGUUCCAAUUCCCAUCAAUCAAUUUGAAUUGCUAACUUGAAUAAGCUAGAAAUGUCCUGAAAUAUAUGUGUUUGAGGUGCUAAGAUUUCAUAAGCUUAGGUGGAUCCAAUUCUGAGUAUAUUUGGAUUACGUUUGAGGAUUUUGGGUUGGCUCCCUGGUGGUAUUUGCAUUAGAUCAUUGUUCUAGAUUAUUUGACAACUUCUCCUAUCCAACUUUGGGUUCCGAAUGUUGGUUCACUGUUGUAUAUGUGAUUGGUUUGCUAUUGUUAUUGCCUCUGAUUUGCCUACUCAUAAGUGUCAUUUUUCGCUUCAUUCCAGGUACUUGUUCUGAGCUCUUUCACUAUAUAUCUCAAAUGAAGGUUGAGUGACAAUGAUGCCCUGUUUUGUUAUAGGUUUAGGUUUUGCUUUGUAGUAACUUAUUGUAAAUAACAUGGACUGUACUGGACUUUUAAAACUGUAAUAGAUUGGUAUUUUUUUUAGAGGUUUUGUUUAACCUAUUUCCUUCAUGCUAGUUUGAAUGUUCCAAGUAGGUCAAGGGCUCAUGAAUCCUUGUAGCUAAUGUGGAGUAUAGUGUUUCACUACAAAUGACUUGAUUCAAUUUGUAUGUUGAAUCAUAUAUUUAAUAGUGGUAGUUUAAAUUGGAAGUUGGAUUAAUAAGACCUCACCUUUGACUUAAUCAAUCAUUAAGGUUAAUGGUAGUGCACUUGUGAGGUCUAUUGGCAAAACGUUUAGUCCUGCUUAUGUGUAAUGGAUUAAAUUGAUAUUUGUCUUACUUCAGUAGCAUGAAAUCUGGAGUCAAGUUUUUAUGUAAGUUCAUAUAUAUGCUCUGCCCAAGUUCGAAAACAUUUUAGUUAUUAAUUUCGUUUGAAAAUCAAAAGUCAUUGCUCUAAGCUUCAUGUUUUAAUGUAAAUACUAGUUAUUCGUAUUAAUUCUUCGAAUUUUAUAAGUAUUAGAUGAAGUCGAGUAAUCAGUAUCCAGUUUUGAUUAAACAAACGUGCAUUUUACUUAUCAAAGUUUUGGAAAUAAAUUUAUGCAAGCUUAUAAUCUAAUUAAGGGCCCAUUUGGAUUGGAUCCAUUAAAGGAUCUGGGGUAUAUAGCCCAUCGUCGAGUAAGCUAGUCUUAACAUCUAGCCCAGGGCUGAUUCUAAUCUACUGCUCAUUUGGGCCUGGGCAACCCUGGCCAAUUUUGCAAAGCUAGACAGGGGUUCCAGGUCUCCGGGCUUAUAUUGAAGCGGAAUGAUGUUUAAUAGAAAAUAUAGUCGCUUUUAGGAUAUCCUGGCCCUCUUUAAAUGUGUAUUAAAUAUCUAGACUACGGGACGUGCCAUUUAGCAAAUUCCAUAGCCUCCCGCAAAGUUAAUAAUACGCUUCUUGCUUUAGGCGCGUUAGUUUAAUAAUAUUACCUUCCUAAAUUCGAGUGCACAUUUAUGUGACCCAAAUACAAAUCCCAACGAAUUUGAAAUGUGUCAAAAAUCACGGUUGCAUUUAUGUGACGUAAUUCGAGACAUGUUUUAUCGCGUUGCAAUUUUCUUUAAAAAUAAAAGUGGCUAAAAGAUUCAAAAUGCACAUAGGUGCAUAAUUGUAUAAAAUCAGAUAAUUUAAGCCAAAUAUAACAUUUGAGAGACCGUUCUAGAACCACGGAACUCAAGAAUGCCUAACACCUUCUCUCGGGUUAACAAAAUUCCUUACUCGGAUUUCUAGUUUGCGGAUUGUUAAACAAAGUCAUUCUUUCCUCGAUUCGGGAUUUAAACUGGUGACUUAGGAAACCAUUAAUUAUCCCAAGUGGCAACUCUGAAAUAUCUUAAACAGUUGGAUCUCGUUUCGAUUGUCCUUUAAUUGGAAAAACUCCGUUAUCUAUGCCCUUCGCAUGGUUGUUGUGCAAAAAGAAGGUGUGACAGCUCUGGCGACUCUGCUGGGGACCGAACCCAGAAUCUUUGGUUCAGGGUUCAAGAAUUUGAGCUUAGAAUAAUUGUUGUAUUUGGUUUUGUUUAUUAUUUCACAUGUUGACUUAAUGCGAAAAAUGAUGCUUUUACCGCUUUGAUAUUAUUUGAACUGUAUAUAUAAACUGUUACGAAACCCUUCUCUUCUUAUCUCCGGGGAUGUGCUUGCAGGUCGAGACUCCCUAUUCUGUUAGUGCCAUACCUUCAAAUAAGAAAGAGGUUCGGACAAGUUAAAAAGCUGGAUGUUCUUGUGGGUCCCCAGUACGUAGCCCCCUCCCCGACUCGAGUUUUCCGCUCGGGUGCACAGUCUAGAACAAAUACCAAGGUUUUAAACAUAGAAUAACUUAACCUCAUGCCGGAUCCACAUUAGGAAUGCUUGUCUGCAUUAUGCAUGUGACUUAGGGGACUCAACAUAGGGGUUGGGUCCGUCUAGGACAGGUGUACCCGAAAUAAUGGACCAUCAUGAUGCAUCCUACCUGUGCAUUUAUUUGUUUUGCAUUUGCAUGCUUACUGCCUUUUACGGGUAAGGAGAGUAAACCACCUGUCUUAAAAGAACCAAUGUCCAAAUACUACCGAAGCUCUGUUGAAAUUUUUUUUUGAACAAAAAAAGGAAAAAAAAAACAAAAAGGGGAAAAGGGGGAGUCUAUUUUAUUCGCCCAAGAAAAAGAAAAACCUGGUUUUCAAAAAUAGUUUUGUUUUUUAUAAAAUUAAAAAGGGAAAGCUAAGUCUUGUUUUCAAAUAAUAGUUUUGUUUGUCUGAAAUACGCCAGUUUGAUUCUCGUUAGGUGCGAGAUACAUAGGCAAUCUCCAUCGAGUCCAACCUCCCUUUUGUAAAAAUAGCCAAAACAAAGAGAAACAAAUGUCAAAUUUUAUUUGUUGUUCUAAAUAAAUCGGGUGAUGUUGUUGUUGUCAAGAACAACCGAAUGUUACCGAAAAGGAUGCCAGAAGGCUGAUUUUUCACAAACGGCCACCUUUGGGUUUCUAUUUUUAUUAUUGGACAGUUAACGGACACAGCCUUAAAAUCUUCCUCCGGAAAUGCUUAAAGGUCGUUUCCGCAAAGCUGGGCUCUGAUUUUAGAAAGUAAAUUGUAUGAAUCAAAAGGGGUCAUUUUUUUUAUUUUGAAGUCAAAUGGAAUAAAGUCUUAAGUUGCUAAUUCGCCUUAAUAAAUGUGCACGAUGAGCACAAUCCAAAACAAACCUUUUUUAUUUGUAAGCAGAAUCCCUUUUGAGUUGCGACUGUGGUGGAAUGAUCUAGGUAUAGAAGGGCAAGAUGAGGUGAAGAAAUAUUUGGGAGUCCUUCCCGGACUACUUGAGAUUUUACCUCGAGGGGACAUCAUAAGAGCGCUGGUCACAUGCUGGGACCCGACGCACAAUGUGUUCCACUUCUCAGAUUUUGAACUUACCCCAACCUUAGAAGAAGUAGCCAGGUACAUUGGGAUGUUGAGCUUCCUUUGAGGCACAAGUAUUUGGUAGCCCCAAGAAUUGUAGAAGUGCACAAAUUCUUAAAUACCCUUAUGAUAAGCAGAAUGGUACACGACUCAAACCUGGCAGCAGGGUUUUGUACUUUUUCAUUUUUGUAUACCAGAUAUUGUCACAUAGGGGGGUUCAACAAUCCAGGGAACAAAAUCUACAGCAAAGGAAACCCCGUCAAGUGGGAAGAACACAUACGUUUCGCUUUUACGUUGGAUUGUCUAGGGCUCCUGGUAUUUCCAAGGAAAGAUGGGAACAUUGACAUAAAAUAGCAGGGGUUGUCGGCACUCUAUGCACACAAGCCAAGUGCACACUCGCGCCUAUGAUAGUAGCUGAGAUCUUUCAUGCUCUCACAGCUUGCAUGGCCAGGAAAGAUUUCUUUGAGGGGUAAAAUCUGUUGUUGCAAAUGUGCAUAACCGAACAUUUGUGCCAUUGUCCCCAGUUCAUGAGCUCUGGGUCAGCAGAGAAAACUUGCAUAGAAGAGUUUUACACAAGAAUUGAAGGGCUCAGUUUGCCCGAAGGGGUAACAGGAUGGAUAUCUUACUUUCAAUCCCUCACUGCCGGUCAAAGAGAGUGGACUAUGGGAUGGUUGUCUGUGGACGAGAUUAUUUACGUGCCGACAAUUGAGCCUCACUUACUUCUGAUGGGUCUUAGGAGCAUCCAUCCAGAGGCGAAGUGUCGCCAGGAUACCUUGCUUGGUAUAGGAGAGAAAUUGCGUACGAGAGGCCAGCCAAAAGGCUCCACCUCCGGGAAUUUGUUGAAGCAUCGGAAGAGCAAUAGGGCUGGUUGGCUCAAGAACACGAAUACAGGGAUACAAUAAGCAAACUGUAGAAGCAUGUCAUGAAUUUGAGAUUUGAGAAGGAUUUGCAAGCUCCCGCAGAUGAAGGCAAAAAGAAGAAAAUGGUCAAGGAAAAUGAGGUCCUUCAGGCCCAAAUUCAAAAAAUUAAAGUAGCUGCUGAAAACCCCGGCCGAAGUACCAAGGAUACAAAACUUAUAGAAGGCUUGAGACAGAAGGUGAGUGACUACAUUUUUUAUUUGAACAAAGAAGAAAAAGAACUAGUCAGGGCUCGAAAGAAAUUGGAUGAAAAUGCGGCAGAACGAGCACGUCUGAUUAGGCAAUUAAAAGAGGAGUUCGACGGUGAGGUGACAGGGUUAAAGAAAAGGGUCGUCAUUGCAGAAAACAAAAUACUCAAAUAGGCAAAAGAGUUCAAAAUUGAAAGGGAAUAUUGUUACAUAGCAUUGGCACAAUUAGAAUCUAAUUUUCAACAGCUUCAAAAGUAGUAUCAAGUAGCUGAACAAAUUUUGGAAGCCAAAACUGAGCAGAUCGGGCGGUUAUUUAAGGAGAAAGGUGUUAUACGAGAGAGAAUCAAAUGGAUCGCGCACUAUAUCGCAAUGAAAUGUAGCAGCUUUGAGGAUAGGCCAAGAUAUAUGUUCUUUGCCACCACAAUGCUUUUUGUUCACUGCAUAAUGGAAGAUCUUCAUCACCUCCAAGGGGAUUUAGCUAGUCAACCCUCGGCAAGGCCAAAAAAAGCCUCAUACGUCCCAAGAGCAAUUGAAGCCGUAAUGUAUUCGUAAUUUCUUGAGAUUGUAUUUUUUCUUCAAAAGUCCGUCAGUUUGUCUUAGAGUCAGUAUUUUCUUUUAUGCAGGGUUAGCUGUUCUUCGAGUCUGUAGUUCGUCCUUUAUCAGAGUCUGUCUGUUCUUCGAGUCUUUGUAACCAAGUUUGUUAUUAUGAAAAUUAAAAAACGCCAAAAUAUUUUUUGCUCACUUUUAUUUCCAGAACUACGCUAGGUCUGAUUCAUAUGGGGUCAUGAUAUGUAGGCAAUCUACAUAGGAUUCGUCCAUAACCGAAUAAAGAAAAAGGAAAAGAGAAAAGAAACGAAAGGGAAAGAAUAGGAGAGAAAAGUAGAGGACAAUCAAGAAAACAAACAAGAAAACAAAAUAGGAGAGAGUAAUAAAAUAAAGCAAAAAAGACGGGGGCAUUGAAAACAAAGAAAAUGAAAGUCAGAAUGAGGCAAGCAACCGACGCAUGUAGCGACCCAUCCUUGUUUAGGUGCAUUCACACUCAAUAUGUGGCCUAUUGCAUGUUAAAACCUAACCAUUAACAAGUUUUUUGGUGAUUUGUAAUUCCAGACUAGACAGGUGGUUAGUACUUGUGGCAUUCUGGCAACCCACUCUUACAACACGCGGUCCAAGAGCAAGCAUGUCAUGGCCAAUCAGGAAAUCGAUGUCAGCAUUAUUGACCCCUCGAAAGAAGUAGAGGAAUUGGACGUUAAUGCCAUGAAGGAGGAAAUGUACAAACUUAAACAUCAAAUGGCCAAGAUGUACCAAGCCUGGGCGAGAGGACAGCCAUCCCCAGCCUAUCCUGCUAAUCCAACCUUCAUCCCGCCACUAGCCCAAGCUCUUGACCAGUCCACCACUGAUCUACCCCCAAUUGUUCCUAUCUACUCGCAGCACCAGGGUACGACAUCUCAACCACCACCAGCUCCACUACCCAAAGUCGCUCCUCGCCCCCCUCCACCAAUUGCUCCCAUCUACGUGGAACCUCCUCCUCCGCACUCCAUAGAUCGUCAAGUGAACCCUUGAUUCAAGCUUAUGACCACCAAUACUAUCCACCAGAACCUGCUUAUAAAGCCCAUGAACCUUACUCCUAUGCUCCUCGUCUCGAAAUCACGGUGGGAGUUUAGAAGCCAAUCAAAAAUCCUGAGGGGGAGGAGGUACUCAAAAAGGUCAGAAGUUUAGAAUAGUCGUUCAGGGAAAUGCAAGGGUUAGGUGGCUAGGUGAGCGUGGCGUUCAAAGACCUUUGUCUAUUUCCAGAUGUGUAGUUGCCUCCUGGUUUCAAGAUGCCUAAAUUUGACUUAUAUGAUGGACAUGGUGAUUCGGCUGCGCAUCUAAGGGGGUUUUUCAGCAAAAUGAGAGGAGCAGGGGGAAAAGAUGAAUUACUAAUGGCGUACUUUAACUAGAGUUUAAGUGGGUCGGCACUGGAGUGGUACACUCGGCAUGAUCACAAUCGGUAGUACACUUGGGAUGACCUGGCACAAGUGUUUGCUUGUCACUUUCAAUAUAAUCUCGAAAUUGUCCCGGAUAGACUAUCUUUGACAAAACUGGAGAAGAGACACAACGAGAGUUUCAGGGAAUAGGGUUUUCGGUGGAGAGAACAAGCAGCUAGAGUUGAUCCUCCAAUGAAAGAGAGUGAGAUGGUUGACUAUUUCAUACAUGCUCUGGAACCUACCUAUUUCGGGCAUUUGGUGUCGGUAGUAGGUAAGUCUUUCAAUGAAGUAAUUAAAAUGGGAAGUAUGGUCAAGGAAGGCCUCAAAUCCAACAAGAUCAUGAGCUACUCUGCAAUCAAGGCAACCACUCAGGCCAUCCGGGGUGGAGCUGGGGCAACAUUUGGAGAGAAGAAGAAGGAGGAAGUAGGAACAGGUCUUUCAAUGAAGUAAUUAAAAUGGGAAGUAUGGUCAAGGAAGGCCUCAAAUCCAACAAGAUCAUGAGCUACUCUGCAAUCAAGGCAACCACUCAGGCCAUCCAGGGGGGAGAUGGGGGAAUAUUGGGAAACAAGAAGAAGGAAGAAGUGGCAACAAUUGAGUCGGGAACUUGGUUCAGGCCGCAAGCUCCAUCCCACUACACCCGACCCUGUCCUCACCACCAAACAUACCCACACCCUCCAUACAGCCCACCACAACAUUAAUAUCCGACGUUAGAACCUCGCUUCUCAGUCCAUCACGCACAAGCGUAUACCUAACCUCCCGCCCACGCACAAUGGCCUGCACCAGCCCUACAAAAUACCUAUCCAACUCCACAAAAUCAUUACCCACCCUCAAGAGCCUACCAACAAAUCCCGAAACCCGCCUUCCGAACCAAUCUAGUCCUGAGAAAUGAAAGGGUGCAGAAGAAGAAAACUUUCACUCCUUUGGGAGAAUCUUACACUAGUUUAUUCCAUAUGCUGCAACAACUGGAUAUGUUGAGACCAAUCGAGGCGAAAUUGCCAAAUCCUCCCCCAAAGAAUCUAGACUAUUCUGUUAGCUAUGAAUACUGUACUACCGAGGCGUCAUACUGAAAAGUGUUUUCAUUUGAAGAAUGCUACCUAGGAACUUAUCGACUCCCACCAGAAUGAAGUAGAGACUCCAGAGGCACCCAAUAUUAACCAAAACUCACUGCUGGCCCAUCAUGAGACCAACAUGAUUGAGAUCGUGGAAAAGGGGGGAGAGUCCAAAACGCCCUUAUAGAAAGUAAUGAUGAUCAAAUCUAGUGAAGUUAAGCCAAUUGAGAAUAUGAGCAGUGAGAAUUUAGUGAUCGAGGCAAAGCGAGGAAACAGCAAACUUGUUGUAGUUCAAGGGAGCUCAUCAUGCACGGUUGCACCAAAACAGAAACAUACAAACGUAAUAGUACACGGGGCAACUAGAGAACCUAUCGUAUUUGUGGAAGGUGUUCGCAUAGAGCCUAUCAUUAUGAAACUAGUAAUCCAGCCACCAGUCGUCAACAGCAAAGCCGUUCCUUGGAAUUAUGAACAAGCAAUAGUGAUGUACAAAGGGAAGGAAGUUAGGGAAGAAGUUUGUGAAGCCAGAGGUUUAACUUGGUCAGGGAAAUACUUCUCCCCUGAAGAGUUGAGGAAAAGCAAGAUAUCUAAAGAUAACCCAGAAUCAGUGAAGAAAGCUGUAUCAGAAGAAGAGGCAGAAGAAUUCCUGAAGAAGAUGAAAAUACAGGAUUACUCCAUCAUAGAUUAAUUGAGGAAAACACCACCUCAGAUCUCCUUACUGUCCUUAUUAAUCCAUUCAGAUGAACAUCGCGGAGCGUUGAUGAAGAUUUUGAACGAAGCCCACGUCCCUGAUAAGAUAACAGUGAAUCAUUUGGAGAAAAAUGCAAAUAAAAUAUUGAAGGUAUAUCGGGUCACUUUCUCUGAUGACGAGCUGCCUAUGGAGGGCACUGAGCACAAUUGGACCCUUUAUUUGGCUGUAAAAUUUAAAUAUGAUAUGGUCACCCGAGUUCUGGUUGACAAUGGAUCCAGUGCAAAUAUUUGUCCCAUCUCCACAUUGAUCAAGCUGAAGGUGGAGAAUUAAAGGGUCCACAAGAAUAAUAUUUGUGUUCGGGGUUUCGAUGGCAGAGGCAAAGAAUCAGUAGGGGAUAUAGUGCUGGAGGUGAAAAUAGGGCCUGUUGAGUUCACCAUGGAAUUUCAAGUGCUGGAUGUGGUAGUUUCUUAUAACCUGUUGUUGGGAAGGCCUUGGAUUCACACAGCAAAAGGAGUGCCGUCUACAUUGCACCAGAUGGUCAAAUUUGAAUGGGACAGACAAGAGAUUGUAGUGCACGGUAAAGAUAAUCAGUCUGUUUCAGGUUAUGCUAUCGUACCUUUUAUUGAAUUUGAAGACAUCAAAGGUCCAUGUCAAUCAGAUAUUCGACACGGUGUCAGUUGAAAAGAUCCUGGAAGGUGAGAUUGUCACAACUCUGAAGAUAGCAUCCGCAUUAGUCAUGGUGGCUUCAAAAAUAUUGAAGAAUGGUUUCGUGCCCGGCAAGGGGUUGGGUGAUUCUCUACAAGUCAUCGUGCAACCAGUGACCCUCCCUAAAAAUUUGAAUACUUUUGGUCUAGGGUUCAAGCCUACAGCUGCGGUCAUAAGGGAAGCUCGAAAGUUAAAGCAGAGGGCCUAGGCCCUCCCAAAGCCCAUCCCAGGUUGUCCAAAUCAUUUUUCAAGCCCAGUACUAGAAAUUUCUCCAUGCCAAAGAUUCCCGGCCCGUUGAUCGACGUGGAUGGGGAUUUGGACAAGGGAUUAGAAAGGUUGUUCAAUGAGGUAAAUAUGGUCGAGGCAGGAGAAGGAUCAAGAAAAGCAGACAUGCAGUUUGUGGGAGCAUGCGCAAAAGUCAAUAACUGGGAAGCCACUCUUGUUCCCACCCGGAUGGAUUCGUGGUAGUCGGAUUUGAUUUUUCUUUCAAGUCUAGUUUGGAUUAUCCUCAUAGUUGUUAAUUUAGUUUUCAUUUCCGUCCUUUUGGAUGUGUAAACUAUGUUAUCUUUUGAUUCUAAUGAAAUGCAAUUUCCUUUCCAGUAAUGCAGAUAGUUUCCAUUUUUCUUUACUUCUCUUUCUUUUCUCUUUUGUACAGUUAUUUUUAUGUUGUUUCUAAUGAUCCGACAUGCAUAAGGACUUUCCGGCCCAGUCUUAAGAAUCGUUCUAGUUCAGAAAUAAUAAUUCAGGAAAUAGAGCACGAGGAUGAGCCAAAAUACAACGAGGAAAGGGCAUGGGAUGAAAUUAGUAAAGAGUAGAGCUAGUUUGAGGAAAAACCCAAACCAAACCUGAGCGAUACAAGGGCAGUCAAUUUAGGAAGCCCGGAUAAUUUCAGAGAAACAAAAAUAAGUGUCCUUCUGGAGUCACAACUUAGGAAAGAAAUAUUUGAAGUACUGCUUGAAUACAAAGUUGUCUUUGUGUGGUCCUACAAUGAUAUGCCCGGAUUGAGCACUAACUUGGUGGUUCACAAAUUUCCCACAGACCCGGCCUGUCCUCUCGUCAAUCAAAAGUUGAGGAAGUUCACAACUGAUGAGCGUGAAAAUCAAAGAGGAAGUGACCAAGCAGUUUGAGGCAAAAGUUAUACGAGUUACACGAUAUCCUACCUAGUUAGAUAAUGUUGAGCCUAUACCAAAGAAUAAUGUAAAACCAGAGUGUGUGUCGAUUACCAUGACCUCAAUAAAUCAAGUCCGAGGGACAACUUCCCCCUGCCGAACAUUCACAUACUGAUUAACAACUGUGCGAAGCAUGAGAUCGGGUCGUUCGUGGAUUGUUACACAGGUUACCUCCAGAUCCUAAUGGAUGAAGAACGCUGGGACAUAUUGCUAUAGGGUCAUGCCUUUUGGUUUGAAGAACGUUGGGGCGACAUACAUGAUGGCAAUGACAAUCAUUUUUCAUGAUAUGAUACAUAAAGAAAUUGAGGUCUACGUGGGUGAUGUGAUUGUGAAGUCUAGAAAGCAAUCCGAUCAUGUCAAAGAUCUGAGGAAAUUCUUCCAUAUGCUCCGCAUGUAUGAUCUCAAACUAAAUCCAGAAAAAUGAGCAUUUAGGGUCCCCUCAGGGAAGUUUCUAGGGUUCAUAGUCAUCUGACGAGGCAUUGAACUAGACCCGUCAAAGAUCAAAGCUAUACAGGAACUACCGCCACCAAGGAAUAAAAUAGAAGUGAUGAGUCUAUUGGGAAAAUUGAAUUACAUCAGUCGAUUCAUUGCUCAACUCACAACCAUCUGCAAGUCCAUCUUUAAGCUAUUGAAAAAGGAUGCUACAGUGAAAUGGAUGGGAGAGUGCCAAGAGGCUUUUGAUAAGAUAAAGAAAUAUAUGUUGAACCCACUAGUAUAGGUCCCUCCAGAGCCACGAAGGCCCUUGAUCUUAUAUUUGACAGUCUUGGAAAUUUGGCUGCGUGUUGGGUCAGCACGAUGUCACCGGGAGAAAAGAGCAGGCCAUAUACUACCUCAACAAGAAAUUCACAGCAUAUGAGGUUAAGUAUACUCAUCUUAAAAGGACAUGCUGUGUCUUGAUGUGGGUAGCCCAGAAGUUAAACCAUUACUUGUUCUCAUAUACCACUUAUCUCAUCUCACGUCUGGAUCCAUUGAAGUACAUUUUCCAGAAGUUAAUGCCCACAGGAAGGCUCGCGAAAUGGCAAAUCUUGCUCGCUGAGUUUUACAUUAUCUAUGUGACUCGGAUUACCAGAAGGCAUAGGCAUUGGCUGAUCAUUUAGCUGAGAAUCCAAUAGACGAAGAAGGCACAGGCAUUGGCUAAUCAAUUAGCUGAGAAUCAAAGGAUUGUUUGUCGUGUCAAGAGUAAUGUCCAAUGGGGCAUUGUAUUUAGCAAAUGUGGAAGGAAAAUGCGUAGAAAUGGCUAUCAAUUCAGAUGCAAUCAAAAGAUAUUAUGUAUGAUUCUCUUUUGUUUGAACCAUUGUCUAUUUGUACGUGGCAUGUAUUAUAUAAUGAAAUGAUGAAGGCAUUUUAUUCCGCUAUCAAAACACAUUACCCUUUGUUAACCCAUUUGAGCUUCAGUUAUUUUCCCUUUCAUAUCCCGUCUUUCGAAAUCGGUAACAAAACGCAAGUGUGAGAAGGCAGUGAAAGGAAAAGAACGGAAAGAAUGAAAAGAAUGAAAAAACAAAAGAAAAGAAAAAUAAAUAAAAUCAAGAAAAGAAAAGAGAAAAGAGGAAAAGAAAAAAGAAAAGAGAAAGAAAACAAAACAAAGAAAAGAAAAGGAAGAAAAAAAAUAGAAAGAAAAAAAGGAGAAAAAACAACAACAAAAACAAGGAACAAUCAGGAACUACGUUUGACCUGAUUCCUUUUUAGGAUACGUAGGUAGCCUCACGGCUCAGUCAUAUUCAAAUAAAUCCAAAAGCCCCAAGCAAGAAACUGGGCCAGAAAUUGCGUUGCUUUGGAUUCGAAAGUUGUAAAUUUUGAACCCAUAAAAGCGAUUGUUGAGCCUUUCACACCCUUUCUUUCUAACCUUAUCCAAAAACCCACAUUACAGCCAAGAGAACGACCUUCUAAUCAAUCUGUAAGAAAUGGCGGGGCAAGCAAGAAGAAGUGGACCAUACCUCGGGACGAUACUCUAGUUCCUGCAGAAAAUAAUAAAAUGAGAGUCUUAUUGGUGAAAACUCUCACGGGAACCAUAACGCGACGAGAGUUUGAGAGAAAUAAAGAUGAGAGAAUCUUAUUGGUGAAAACCCUCGUAGUCACCAUAAGGCGAUGUGAGUUGAGAGAAAUAAAAAUGAGAGAGUCUCAUUGGUGAAAGCCCUUAUGGGCACCAUGUGAUGAAGUCAAGGCAAGAAGCAACAAUUCAAAAAAGGGGCAAUUGGCGGAAAUCCGUUCAGAACACCGUAAGGCAAGCGAAGCUAAGGUUUGGUUGAAGGAAUUGAGUUAGAAAUGGUCGCAACAACAAAAGCAUGGUAACAAAAGGCCGAUCAUCAGGAUAGACUGGGUUGACUAGGCCGAAGUGCAUGUUAUGAUCAUGAAAGACCAGGUGCUCUUUCUCAGAUAAGUUUCCUUUCUUUUCCGUUCAACAGUCAGUGAAUGUGAAAUUCUUUACCCUAAAUACAGUUCUGAGUCAUUGCAUCUCAUUUUUCUUUCAAGUCUCUAAAGUAUUUUUUUAAGAAAAUGGGAGAAAUUUCAAAGCCUAUUAUCAGCUCCCAAAGGGACAAAGCGCAUGACGCCCAAAAACGUAACAAAGGCAGCAGAGUUUGAAGCAGCAAGGGGAGGGAUUCACAAGAGCUUCAAUGAUAAAAUCAAUGGAAGAGACAAGAGUUGGCAAAGUGAGGGAGCAUCACACAAAGAUGGGUAUGAAAAUUAAAAUCACAAAGGUUCUGGUGUCAGCGGAGCAUAACACACUGACCGGGUAAUCUCAUAAAGGAUGCAAUGAUUCUGGAAAAAAGAGUCAGAAGCGCAACACAAAGAUGGGAAAGGUCACAAGGGUUAACCGAGCAUAAUACAUUGACCAAACAGCCAUCAGAGAAGGACAAAAGAAUUCUGGAAAAAGGUCGAAAAUGCAACACAAGAUGGGGAGCAAGGUAAAGACACCAGCGUCAAAGGUCAGCCAAACAUCAUAAUCUGACCGGGAAGUCCCAGGGAAGGAUGUGAGAAUUCUAGCAAAGGGUCGGAAGUACAACACAAAGAUGAGGAACAGAGUGAAGGUCCAGGGGUCAGAGGGUCAGCCAAGCGUAAUAUAUUGACUUGGCAAUCUCGAGAAAGGUGCAAGGAUUCUGGCAAAAGUGCUAGAAAUGCAACACAAUAAUGGGGAGCAAAGUAAAGUCGUAAAGGUUCAAGGGGUCAACUGAGCAGCUCAAGAAAGUCAUCAUUAACAUGGAAAAUUGAACACAACGGAACAUGACAGAGAGCAGGCCGCUUCCAACAAGAAUGCUGCAAGCAAAGCACCACUUUUCAAACUGAAAAGUUAUCUUCGAUUGACACAGGGCAGAGAAAUUCUAGAAGAGCCUAAAGGGGGCCAUCCACAGGGGAAGGCCGGCACAUGGCAGGUCUGACCAAAAAAUCAUGGCAUAUAGUCUGUCACAAAUGUUCUCCCCAACAAGAGUAUAUUGGGAUAAACUUUAACUAGCAAACCCCAACAGAAACAAUUGAGGGCAAAAGAGGCAUGUAAUGGAACACAGUUUAAAACUCAAACAUGUGCGAGUAAUAUGGGCAAGCACCAACACCUUCCCCCAGUAAGAGUCGUCGAAAUCCUCCUGGUCAAUGAUCAAUAGCAGAAACAACCAGAAGUUAGAAUUGGCAUUUAAUCUGUAACCCUCAGGACCCUCUUAGAGAAUGGGACUUAUUUGAAGGUUAGAGGCAAUUAUGGACAGCAAAGAGCAUAAUGUGAUUUGUAUGUUGAAAGAGGAUUCAAUUAGAGGUUGUCAGGACCCUCCUGAAAAAUGGGACUUAGCCUAGAAUACAAACAGUAGGGUGGCAUGGUCAAACCCAAAUACUUCCCCAACAAGAGUCAUCAGGAUCCGCCUGGAUAAUGNNNNNNNNNNNNNNNNNNNNNNNNNNNNNNNNNNNNNNNNNNNNNNNNNNNNNNNNNNNNNNNNNNNNNNNNNNNNNNNNNNNNNNNNNNNNNNNNNNNNNNNNNNNNNNNNNNNNNNNNNNNNNNNNNNNNNNNNNNNNNNNNNNNNNNNNNNNNNNNNNNNNNNNNNNNNNNNNNNNNNNNNNNNNNNNNNNNNNNNNNNNNNNNNNNNNNNNNNNNNNNNNNNNNNNNNNNNNNNNNNNNNNNNNNNNNNNNNNNNNNNNNNNNNNNNNNNNNNNNNNNNNNNNNNNNNNNNNNNNNNNNNNNNNNNNNNNNNNNNNNNNNNNNNNNNNNNNNNNNNNNNNNNNNNNNNNNNNNNNNNNNNNNNNNNNNNNNNNNNNNNNNNNNNNNNNNNNNNNNNNNNNNNNNNNNNNNNNNNNNNNNNNNNNNNNNNNNNNNNNGGAUAAUUGGACGUAGUUCUAAAUGCUAAACCCAGACACAUUUUGUCAUCAAAGUAAGAGUUAUCAGGACCCGCCUGGAUAAUGGGAAGUAGUUCUAAUCACCAGUCACCAACAGAUCCCCAGCAGAUAUAACUCAUAACAAGACAUAGUUGAAAACAAUACCUUUUGAAAAACAUAACAUAAUCUUAAAGUUGUUAUUAGUUAAAAAAUUGUCAGGACCCUCCUGCAUAAUGGGACUUAGCUUUAGAGAUAUUUGAUAAGGAGAUUUGAUUAACACCCACAGAUCCGCCAAGCAUCAAACUGGGGAAGAAAGGAUUUCUUAUGUUUUGUUUUUUAUUUGUUGUGAUCAAGUACACAUGCAGCAGUCUUACGGAAUAUUUUUCAAGUUUCAAAUUUCGGUAAUCAGGCGUCCACCUGUCAGAACAAGGGAAUAUUUUUCAAGUUUUAAAUUUUGGUAAUUAGGAGCCCACCUAUUAGAACAAGGGAAUUAUUUUCAAAAUUCAAGUAAUGGUAAUUAGGCGCCCACCUGUCAGAACAAGGGAAUAUUUUUCAAGUUUCAAAUUUCGGUAAUCAAACGCCCACCUAUUAGAGCAAGGGAAUACUUUUCAAGUUUCAAAUUUUGGUAAUCAGGCGCCCACCUGACAGAAUAAGGGAAUAUUUUUCAAGUUUCAAAUUUGGUAGUCAGGCGCCCACCUGUCAGAACAAGGGAAUACUUUUCAAGUUUUAAAUUUUGGUAAUCAGGCGCCCACUUGUUAGAACAAGGGAGUAUUUUUCAAAGUUGCAAGUUUUGGUAGUCAGGUGCCCACCUGUCAAAACAAGGGAAUACUUUUCUAGUUUCAAAUUUUGGAAAUUAGGCGCCCACCUAUUAGAACAAGGGAAUACUUUUCAAGCUUAAAAUUUCGGUAAUCAGGCACCCACCUAUCAGAACAAGGGAAUACUUUACAAGUUUCAAAUUUUGAUAAUCAGGCGCCCUCCUGUUAGAACAAGGGAAUAUUUUUCAAAGUUGCAAGUUUUGGUAAUCAGUCGCCCACCUGCCGGAACAAGGAAAUACUUUUCAACUUUCAAAUUUUGAUAAUCAGGUGUCCACCUGUCAAAACAAGAGAAUAUUUUUUAAGUUUCAAAUUUUGGUAAUCAGGCACCCACCUAUUAGAACAAGGGAACAUUUUCCAAGAUUCAAGUCGCGAUAAUCAGGUGCCCACCUGUCAAAUUAAGGGAAUAUUUUUCAAGAUUCAAGUUUUAGGCGCCCACCUGCAGAACAAGGGAAUACAUUUCAAGUCCAGCGAUUCGGCGUCAGACAUAGAAUAAGAGAACAAGAAGUCAGCAAGGCAGAGCAAGAUUGAAGAUGUAGAUAGGUUUUUUUGUAAUCCAUGGUUCAUAGCUUAGUUUAGCUUCUUCAUUUUUCACAAGGUGUAAUAAGGAGAUCUAGCAGUAGUAGCAGCAACAACAGCGAAAUUACAGCUUCGGUAGUCCUAGCUACUAAACCCUGUAGAACUACACUAACUUGAUUUCUUUGUAGCCAAGGAUAUGUAGGCAACCUUUGAAGCAGGGUUCGGUCAGACAUUUUUCAAAAUGCUUCUCACGGAAUGCCAAGCAGGAAAAAAUCUCUCGGUUUCUCAUUUAUCUUUGCCCAGAAACCCUUCGUGUCUCCAAGCAAAGAGGGGCAGCUGUGAGCACGUAAUUUUUGCCUCGCUCGAAAUAUUUCUUUAGAAUUCUUAAAAUUAUGAUUUUCUAUUAUUAUUUGAGUUUUCAGGAAUUAAUUGCGUGAUUUUGUGUUUAUUUGCAUUUUUUGUUCAUUUUAAAUUUGAUAUCAUUCAUGGAAAUACAAAAAUAGUAUAUUUGCAUUUAGGACUUAGUUUUUACAUUUUUAGGUUUAUUAGGUAAUUAAUGUUGAAAAAAAAAUUAAAACAAACUAACAAAAAGGGUCACUUUUACAUUUGUUUAGUUUUCUUUUUAAAUUUGGGAUUUAGUUUAUUUUUAGAAGUUAAUUAGUUUGCGUGUAGAAUUUAAAUUGGGUUUUGCCUAUUUUUAUUUUUUACUUUACUUGUUAAAAUCUGGAAAAAAAAAAAGAGAAAUUAUUAAAAAAAAAAGGAUUAAGUAAAAAAAGAAUAAAACAAAUAAUUUCUUUUAGUCUUAUUAGGAGACUUGAAUUGGGUCACUGUACACCUAAAUAUCCAGCCGAAACCCCUCAAGCCAACCUAUUAACCCACCCCAAACUCGGUACAAAUGGGCGACGCUUGAAACAACGUUGUUUCUGCACGAUCAAUCAGGGUCGUUGAUGAUGACAUUUGAUCAAUGGAUAUGAAUUCCCUAGGUUUUAAAUAUAUAGGUGUCAGAUUCCCCCCUCCACCCCUCCAAACCCUCUCUCAAACACCCCUGAAUACACCAGUGUACCACCGCUAUAUACCCUUUGUCCUCCACCAUCCACCAGCGGCCAGUCUCCAAUAAGCCCUAAAUUAACACUCUUUUCUCCACUUCUCCUCCUCUUUCCAACCCUCUAAACAACAACCCUCGAAUAUUAACCAAUCGUCUUGAAUAUUAGUACAAAUAUUCGACUGGUCUGCCGUCCACGGCGGCGAUGGCUCAAACGGCCACCAAUAAUACACCACAUGUUCUCCUUUCCAUCCUCUACCCAGAUCUGAACCAUGUCUUCCUCGAAUCUCCUUUGAACUUGUCAAAUAACUUAAAAUAUAGUCAUCGUCUCCACCGCCCACGGUGGUCUUACCUCUAAGCCCUCCUAGAUUUACACCCCUACACCUCCUCGACCUCCUCUUCCCAUUUCUAUGACUCCCUUGGCUCGAAUACCACCCAAUCAUCUUGAAUCUACAUUCAAACGACGACUGCUCUGCAGUCCAUGGCGGCGUCGGUGCCCAAACAACCUCAAAUCAUCACCCAACAACCCUUGAAUUUACCUCAUCCAAAUCCAUAUCAUAUUCCCUUCAAAUAGCCCUAGGAUUGGCCGAACAUCAUGCCAAAACGUUGACCCGAUCGAUGCAUGGUGGAUUCAAUACAUUUUCUGAUUGAAAAAAAAAAGCUAAGUGUUCUGUUUAAUGUACUCUUGACUACUUGUUCAUUUUAUUUUCUUGAAAUCGAUUCUAGUUUAUGUAUUUCAUCUCUUCAUGAUAUGCUCCUUCUUUCCUGCCUUUCUCCUUUGUUUCUUUGGUCUGACUGCGCAAAUUGAUAGUUGUGUUAUGAGAUUAAUUAAAACCAGUACGCUUCUUCUUUUGCUUUCAAUCUUAUUUUGUUCUUUUCUGUUUUCUGUGAUUGUUUUUAGUUUAAUUUUGCUCUGAUUUGGGUGAUCGUGCUUACUCUGGUUGUUAGUUUAAUUUUGGCAUUUGUUUCAUCGAUUUUGAUUUCCUAGUAGUUUGUAAUUUUGUUACUAGUUUGGCUCUUAUUAGUUCUUUUCUGUGUUUUUUUAUAUAUAAUUUUGUUCUGAUUUGGUUGAUCCUGUUUAUUUUAAUUGUUAGUUUAAUUUUGGCAUUUGUUGCAUUGAUUUUAACCUACUAGUAGUCUCUUAUUCUGUUACUAGUUUGGCCCCUAUUAGUUCUUUUAAUAUCAUAUGAAUAAGGAUUCGUGGAGUUUGGAUAUAAUCAAUUUAAUAAAGGUAAAGGGGGUCAGCUCAUAUAGUUUGGGUAAUUUCAGGGGUAGUACAGGUAUUGUGAGUUAGGGAAUCUGGCAUUCAACUGAUUUGGAAGCCCCUAGAACAUUCUAGGAGAGGUUCUAAUCAGAUUUUUGAGAUAAGAAUGUUAUAAAUUGGCCAUCAAGUUAAGAAAUCAUGGACUAAGUGAAUAAAUCUGAAAAUAAAAGGGGACUAAUGGGUAAACACAAAAUAAGAAGGUUGCCCUAAGCUUUGGCUAUAAAAGGUCACCCUAAUGAUUCAUUGACAAGUUCCUAGCAGAUUGAAAUCCUUGAAAACCUUCCCAAGACUUCUGAACUCUAAAAAUCAUUAAAAAAUUCCUUAAAAUUUCCAAGAAAUCCUCAAAGAUUCCUAGGGUCUAACAUUUCACAAAACAUUGAUUCAUUGGAGUGUUUUCUUCAUAAUUAGUUCCAAUUCUCAACAAUCAGUUUGAAUUGCUAACUUGAAUAAGCUGGAAAUGACCUAAAAUAUAUGUGUUUGAGGUGUUAAGAUUUCAUAAGCUUAGGUGGAUUUAAUUCUGAGUAUAUUUGGAUUACGUUUGAGGUUUUUAGGUUGGCUCGCUGGUGUUAUUUGCUAUAGAUCAUUGUUCUGGUUUAUUUGACAACUUCUCCUAUCAAACUCUGGGUUUCUAAUGCUGGUUCACUGUUGUAUCUGUUGAUUGGUUUGCUAUUGCUAUUGCCUCUGAUUUGACUACUCAUAUGUGUCAUUUUUUGCUUCAUUCCAGGUGCAUGUUUUGAGCUCUUUCACUAUAUAUCUCAAAUGAAGGUUGAGCGACAAUGAUGCCUUGUUUUGUAAUAGGUUUAGGUUUUGCUUUGUAGUAAUUUAUUGACAAUGAUGCCUUGUUUUGUAAUAGGUUUAGGUUUUGCUUUGUAGUAAUUGAUUGUAAAUAACAUGGACUGCACUGGACUUUUAAAACUAUAAUGAAUUGGUAUUUUUUUAGAGGUUUUCUUUAACCUAUUUCAUACAUGCUAAUUUUAACGUUCCAAGUAGGUCAAGGGCUCAUGAAUCCUUGUAGCUAAUGUGGAGUACAGUUUUUCACUACAAACGACUUGAUUCAAUUUGUAUGUUGAAUCAUAAAUUUAAUAGUGGUAGUUUAAUUUGAAAGCUGGAUUAAUGAGACCUCACCUUUGACUUAAUAAAUCGUUAAGUUUAAUGAUAGUGCACCUGUGAGGUCUGUGGGCAAAAAGUUUAGUAUUGCUUAUGUGUAAUGGAUUAAAAUUGAUAUUUGUCUUACUUCAGUAGCCUGAAAUUUGGAGUCAAGUUUUUAUGUAAGUUCAUAUAUAUGCUCAGCCCAAGUUCGAAAACAUUUUAGUGAUUAAUUUCAUUUCAAAAUCAGAAGUUAUGUGUCUGAGCUUCAGGUUUUAAUGAAAAUACUAGUUGUUCGUAUUAAUUCCUCAAAUUUUAUAAGUAUUAGAUGAAGUCGAGUAAUCAGUAGCCUGUUUUGAUUAAACAAACGUGUAUUUUAUUUAUCAAAGUUUUGGAAAUAAAGUUAUGCAAGCUUAUAAUCUAAUUAAGGUCAUGUUUGGAUUGGAUCCAUUGAAGGAUCUGGGGUCAACAGCCCAUCGUCGAGUAAGCUAGGCUUCAGAUCUAGCCCAGGGCUGAUUCUAAUCCACUGCUCGUUUGGGCCUAGGCGAGACUGGACAAUUUUGCAAAGUUGGAGAGGGAUUCCAUGUCUCCGGGCUUAUAUUGAAGCCCAAUGAUUUUUAAUAGAAAACAUAGUCCCUUUUAGGAUAUCCUGACCCUCUUUAAAUGUGUAUUAAAUAUCUAGACUCCGGUACGUGCCAUUUAGCAAAUUCCAUGGCCUCCCGCAAAGUUAAUAAUACGCUAGUUGCUUUAGGUGCGUUAGUUUAAUAAUAGUACCUUCCUAAAUUCGGGUGCACAUUUACGUGACCUAAAUCCAAAUCCCAACGAAGUUGAAACGUGUCAAAAACCAGAGUUGCAUUUAUGUGACGUGGUUCGAGACAUGUUUUAUCGAUAUUGCAAUUCUCUUUAAAAAUAAAAGUAGUUAAAAGAUUCAAAAUGCACAUAAGUUCAUAAUAGUAUAAAAUCAGAUAAUUUAAGCCAAAUAUAAUAGUUGAGCGACCGAGCUAGAACCACGAAACUCGGGAAUGCCUAACACCUUCUCCCGGGUUAACAUAAUUCCUUACUCGGAUUUCUGGUUCGCAGACUAUUAAACAAAGUCAUUCUUUCCUCGAUUCGGGAUUUAAACCAACGACUUGGACACCAUUAAUUAUCCCAAGUGUCAACUCUGAAAUCUCUUAAACGGUUGGAUCCCGUUUCGAUUUUCCUUUAAUUGAAAAAACUCCCUUAUCUACGCCUUUCGCGGGGUUGUAGUGCAAAAAAGAGGUGUGACACGGGGUACAAUCAAAUCUUAAUUGCUCAGAGGAUCAAGAGAAGACAACUUUUAUUUGUCUGUGUUGUACAUUCACUUUCUCUCGGAUGUCGUUUGGAUUGUGUAAUGCUCCGGCGACCUUCCAACAAUGCAUGACGGCUAUAUUCACCGACAUGGUGGAAGAUAUAUUGGAAGUUUUUAUGGAUGAUUCACUGUGGUUGGGGAUUCCUUUGAAUAAUGUUUGAGUAAUUUGGAUAGAGUUUUGGCCCGGUAUGAAGACACAAACCAUGUACUCAAUUAGGAAAAAUGCCAUUUCAUGGUAGAAGUGGGUUUAGUGUUGGGUCACGAAAUUUCAAAGUAAGGAAUUGAAGUUGGCAAAGCCAAGAGAUAGGUAAUUUCAAGACUUCCUCCUACUUCUGUCAAAGGGGUGAGGAUUUUUCUUGGGCAUGGGGGUAUUUACCGAAGGUUUAUAAAAGAUUUUUAAAAAGUGGUACACCUCUUGUGCAAGUUGUUAGAAUAGGAUGCAAAGUUUGUGUUCGAUGAAGGAUGUAUGCAAGCAUUCAAGCAUCUCAAGCUUAAGUUGACCAGUAACCUUAUCAUUACCAGACCAAAUUGGAGCUUUCAUUUCGAGCUCAUGUGUGACGCAACUGACGUUGCAGUUGGGGCUGUUUUGGGUCAAAGGAUAAACAAGUUUUUUAAUCCCGUUUACUAUGCAAGAAAGACCAUGAAUUAGGCUCAAAUGAACUAUUACAAUCACCAAGAAAGAGUUGUUGGCUAUAGUGUUUGCUAUGGAAAAGUUUCAACCAUAUCUUAUGGGGGAAAGGUUAUAGUGUACAUCGAUCAUGUUGCCCUUAGGUAUUUGAUGACAAAGAAAAAUUAAAGGCAAUAUUGAUGAGAUAGGUGCUACUUCUCCAAGAGAUUGAUCUAGACAUUGUGGACCGUAAAGUGGUAAAAAUCAAAUGGUGGACCACUUGUCCCGUUUGGAGGAGGUUGGGAGGCCUUGUGAUGGCCUUGAGAUCAAUGAUUCAUUUCCCGACAAGUAACUCCUUCCGGUGUCAAUGAAUGAUAUGAGGUGGUUUGCCGAUGUUGCCAAUUACCUUGUUACUAGAAUAAUCCCGUAUGAGCUCUCUUCUAACCAAAUGAAGAAGCUCAAGUGGGAUACUUUGGAUUUCUAUCGGGAUGAACCAUACUUGUCCAAGAUUUGCACAGACGGUGUGAUUCGUAGAUGUGUCCCGGAGGAAGAACAAUUGAGUAUCAUUGAGGCUUGUCUUUCCUCUCUCUAUGGUGGCUAUCAUGGCGGGGCAAGGACAACUUCAAAAGUUCUUAGUUGUGGAUUCUAUUGGCCAACCUUGUUCAAAGAUGGGGGUGAUUUUGUGAAGAGGUGUGACGAGUUCCAAAGAGCGGGUGGAAUUUCAAAAAGGGAGUAAUCCCUCUUACUACCAUUCUUGAAGUGUAUAUCUUUGAUGUUUGGGGCAUAGAUUUCAUUGAUCCAUUUCUUAUCUCUUGUGGGAACACUUAUAUUCUUGUGGCGGUUAAUUAUAUCUCAGAGUGGGUUGAAGUCGUGGCUUUUCCUGACAAUGAAGCCCGGAUUAUUGUUUUAUUUCUUAAAAAGAACAUUUUCACAAGGUUUUGCACACCUCGUGCGAUUAUUAGUGAUGGGGGGUCUCAUUUUUGCAAUGAAGAUUUUGCCACAUUGCUUUCCAAGUACGGUGUCAAUCACAAGGUUUCUACCCCCUACCAUCCUCAAGCUAGUGGUCAAGUGGAAGUCUCAAAUAGGGAAAUCAAGAAGAAAAAAAUCACGAAAAAGUCUAGAAAUAGCUUGAAGACCCGAUUCAUAAGAUCCAUGAAAGCUGUCGGGGCGUUGGUUAGCUCAAAAGACAUGACCAAGAAUUCAAAGUGACCAUAGCGAGUUCUGAAAGCAGUCUUAGGAAUAUCCUGCUCUCUGAUCUUUAAUUGGUGAUACCCGAAUCGUAGAUCAAUUUUGGAGAAGAACCUUGCACCUUGCAAUUGGUCGAAAGAAUCAUCUAUCAGAGGAAAAGGAUAUUUAUUCUUGAUGGUGACUUUGUUGAGCUGCCAAUAAUCAAUACACAUCUGGAGCGACCCAUCCUUCUUUCUGACAAAAAGAACUGGAGCACCCCAUGGCGACAUACUCGGCCGAAUGAACCCCUUUUUCUAAUAAAUCCUUCAGCUGCUCCUUUAACUCCCUUAACUCCGCUGGCACCAUUCUGUAUGGUGGAAAACAUAUCGGUUGCAUAUCCAGCAAUACAUCAAUCUCGAAAUGAAUCUCCCUAUAUGGCAAAAUCCCUAGAAGCUCAUCCGGAAACACUUCAAGAAACUCAUUCACGACUGGCACGGAUUCGAACACAGACACUUCUAAAUUGGUAUCCGCCACUCAGACCAGUUGAUAGAUAUGCCCUUCUUAAUUAUCUUCGAAGCCUUAAUGUAAGAAAUAGACCUACCCUUCGGCACUACACCAUUUCCCUUCCACUCAAUAAGCGGCUCAUUAGGGAACUUGAGUCUCAUGACCCUCGUUCAGCAGUCAAGUUUAGCAAAGCAUGAAUAAAUCCAAUCCAUUCCCAUAAUCACAUCAAAAUCCACCAUUCCAAGCUCAAUAAGAUAGGUCAAAGUAACAUGACCACAUACCGUGACAACAUAAGCUAUAAACUCGCACGACUGUAAUAGAAUCACUGACCGGAGUUGAUACAGAGAAGGGCUCAUAAAGAUAUUCGGGUUCUAUCCCAAAACUUGGAGUAAUAAAUGGGGUUACAUAAGACAAAGAGGACCCCGGAUCAAUAAGAGCAUAACAAUCACUGGCCUGAACAGAUAAGAUACCUGUAACAACAUCUGGAGAAGCCUCUACACUCUGGCGACCACUCAAAGCAUAAAACCAGCUGGGUCCGACUCUAUGACAAGCUCCAUCCCUAACUACACCAUGCCAUGCUGGAGCUAGAGGACACACGAAUGAUGGGGCAGCUAAAGAAUUGGAUGACUGAGCAAAUCCCCUACAUAUGCCCUGACUGGGCGCACGAUAGUCCCGCUGGAUAUGACCUCUCAGGGGGCAUCUAUAGCAUACUGGGAUAUCCAAAUAACAAGUCUCAGAAUGGAACCUCCCACACUUGGGGCACGGAGCUCUCCCCUACUGCUGUAAUUUCCCUCCUGGACGAUCGGAUUGAUGGGGUCUCCCACUGCCUGGACCUGGCCUCAAGUGACUACCCUGCUGAUAACUAUACAUAGAUGCAGUGCCCUCGCUGAAGACUGUGCAUAUGACUGGGAUGUCCCUGAUGGCCCUCUCCCCUAAACUGGUCUCCCUUAGAGACCCACCGAUCGGGCCCUGCUGCUACUCUCCCUUUCCGCCCAUAUCUUUAACUUUCUAGCCUUUUUGUCCUGAGCGAAUCCCACACUCUUUCCAUAAUUCAUAUCCAAGUGUAAGGCCGUUAUAGCAGCCUCAAUCACCACCAAAGGACUAAUACCUUGAACGAAUCGCCGAACUCGAGAACCCAUGGUCGACACUAACUGAGGAGCAUACUUGGACAAUCUCACAAACUCCAUGGGGUACUCCCAAACACUCAUACUGCCCUUCUUGAGGACCUCAAACCCAGUGGCACAGGCUACCAUUGUCUACGCGAGCAAGUGGUCCAUAAUUGCAUCUACAAACUCAUCCCAUUUAGCCGGAGGACUUUCCUCCCCACGGGAAUCCUCCCACAUCCUGAACCACGAAUAUGCUACUCUCUCAACCUGUAUGAAUACAAUCAACUCCCUCUAUCUCUGUAGCCUUCAUCACUCAAAGGGUCUUAUACAUUUCAUCAAGGAAAUCCUGCGAAUCGGCCUCUGGGUUUGUGCCUGUGAACUCUGGAGGGGCCAAUCGCAGAAACUGGUUAACUCUGGUGCUGGCGGAAUCUCCUUGUUCGCCGGAGGACGUAGGGGCAUCAUGAGAUCUCUAGGCCAGAGCGGCCACUAACUGGGUCAACAUAUGGAUGGCUCCUCUAAGGUCCCCAUCAGAAACCCCGGGACCAGAGGCUGGAACUGCAUCAGGGUCAGGAAUAUCGGUGGGAAGGCUGGUAGUACCCUCUACCACAACAGGAACAGGAAUACUUUGAUCUGGAAUAGAUGGGCAGGUAGAUUCAAGAACGGGGAGCCACUCUCAUCCACGGUACCAAGUACAUGGUUCAUAGCCACACUUGGGGUGGCAUUGGCCCAAAGGCCGAGUCUAGCUCUCUUCUUAGGUACUGUUACUGAAAAUUUCGAAACAUGUCACGAGUUAGGAAUAAAUACUUUCACUUUUCACUUCACCGCACGAUAUAGAAUAACAAAGAGGAGGGUGAUUUCCUAAAUUUCCAUGUAGCCCCCACAUAUAAAUAUGGUCGGCAACACACCGAUAAUAAAGGCUCUACUAGACACGGCUCUAAGACAUCCUAGGACUCUUUUAAAGCCUUAGGCUCUGAUACCAAGAUUAACAUGCCCCAAAACCGAGGGACAUGGCCAGCGCUCGACCGGGUAGCCCCAGACAAGCGGACCUAGGUGUCUUUCCGCUCAUUAUUCAAGUGAAAUAGCCAUUUAUAAUUAAACACAUUCUUAAGAGUUAUACAUAACGUGGAUGUAAUCUACAAGGUACACUGUCCAGAUACAUAGAUACAUAAUUACAUAACCCAUGUUUCCUGUCUACGGAGCCUCUAGGGAUACAAAAGAGUUUUAAUAUACUUACUGGUAACAAGGCUCCGGCUAUACCUUGCACAAAUAACAAAAUAAGACUCUCUGAAGAAAAGCGGUAUGAGCCACGAAGGUCCCCGAGAGGAAAGGGACUCACUAAUACAGUUGACGGAAAGUGGAGGAGUUGCUACUAUCGGUGGAAUAGAGUACCUACUAUAGAACCACCUACAAUCAUAACAAGAAUGUAGCGCCCCGACAAAAAGGAAGUCAGUACAUUUGAAUUGUACUGGUAUGCAUGAACAAACUUCACCCCAAGUAAAAUCAAUCAAUACACAGAUAACCAACAGUAAUAGAAUCAACAAUCAAAUGCACAUAAAAGGAACAACCAAAGCCAACAAGUUUCAUAAUCUCUUCUUUCCCCUUUCAACAUCAUUUCAUACUCAAGAGUUUCAUAUAUUUUCAUUUCAAUAGUGAUUAUUAUCCAUUUUCAACCCUUAUUACCUCGGCCACCCUUAUUACCUCGGCCAUUCUUAUCACCACAAUCGACACCUUAUAACUUCGUGUUGCGGUGCGCAAACCCGAUCCCACCGGACAAUCACAUCUCACCCAACAAUAAUAGUUCACAGUUCAAUCACAUGACUUCAAGUCAUUCAGAAUAUCAUUUCAUAACAAUAAUAACAAUUCAGAAAGAGUUUUUCAUCAAUAUCAAUUACGAUUUUUUCCCAUUAUUUAUUACACCGCCCUUACCACAUGAAUACAUUCACAGACACCCUUGGUUUGUUGCCAUUUGUUUACACCAUCAUAUCAAGACGUUUAACCAACAAUGUUCAAGACAUAUUAAUCACAAGAAUUCAACAAAUAGGCCAUCAUGCCUUACACCCGUGAAACAACAAAAAUUCACAAAUAGUCCACAUAAGCAACACAUACCACUAAUUUGUAUACCAAACAGGGUGACUUCACAAAAUUUAAAGUUAGCCAUACAUACCCGGAGUCGAAUUUCUCUUUUAACUCCUACUCUCAAUUCACCAACUACCUAGUACCGCCAAUCUAGUUCACAAGUUAAUACAUGUAUCUUAGAAUUGAAAUUUACAAAUACAACCCGAACCCACUAAGAUUAUCAACCCCUCUUUUUUGCACACUUUUACUCCUACCCAAUUCCUCUUACUAGAUUUGAGGUAUUAAAGAAGAUGCAUGUAUGUUUCAACUUAUAUUCUCAAGAAUCUAUUCAUGAGAACACCCUUUUUUGUUUAAAUCUGAAAACCAAUAAAAAAGGGUUGGGGAUUUUACCUGCAAGAAUGAAGGAGAAGUUAAUUACUGGAAAUCUUUUGGUCUGGGCGACAUUGAAAACUCAAACUGAUAGAGAUGGUACUUUCUCUCUCAAGAACCCUCUAUUCCCUCUCUCUAGUUUUGUUCAGAAAAUAUGUUAAAAUGAAGGGUUGGAGUGUUUUAUUAAGAAGGGGUAGGGUUGAAAAAUUAGAAAAAUAGGAGCCCCGACGCGAAAUGCAGUCAGGAAUGCGAUCGCAUUCCUGACAUGCGGUCCGCAGACCGAUCGCAGAAUGGCCCUCAAAAAUGGGCCAAAAUUGAAACACUUUGUUUCAGGUAUACGACCAUUAUGCGGUCUGCAUACACGUUAUGCAAUCGCAUAGUGCAUCCAAAACCUCCCUCACCAAAAGUCAAUGGGCAAAAAUGCAAUAAAUAUGCGGUCCGCGUAACCAAAAUAUGAUCACAUUCUGGACCGAUAAUUGUCCUCCAAUUGGGUAGUGGCCUGCUAGGUAUGCGACUACUAUGUGAUCCGCAUACUCAUUAUGCAAUUGCAUAGUGCGUCGCAUAACGCCUAAUUUCUAGAAAAUUUUAUCUUUCAAAUUUCGGGGUACUUUUCUAUUGUUAUAACUUAUAACAACACAAGGACCUACCCGACAUUAUUUUAGAAAAAUAUUUUUAUGGGUCUUUACAGAAAAGUCAAAAUCACGAACCAUUUGAUUUUAUAAAAACUUAACUUGUGAAUCUAUAACACAUCCAAAACAAAAAAUUUAAUGUCAUAAGGAUAGUUCUAGAUAAUAGUUCGAAAUUAAUAUUAAAUCUCAUGCGGCGAUGAUUUCAGAUUUGUGUAGUCUCACCAAAACUUCUGUAUCUUGAUGUAAGAAUGUCAAAAUCACGAACUAUUUGAUCUAUUGGAAACAUAACUUCCAAAUUCAUAACAUAUCCAAAAUGUAAAAUUUAAUACCUUAAAAAUAGUUUCAGAUAAUAUUUCAAAAUAAAUACUAAAUUCUGAGACACUGACAAUUUCAGAUUUGCACAACUUUGUCAAAAGUUUUGUACCUUGAAGUAGGGACAUCAAAAUCACAAACCGCUUGAUUUCUUGGAAAUUAAACUUCAAAAUCUAAAACAUAUAAAAAUUAAUGCCUUAAGGAUAAUUUCAUAUGAUAGUUCGAAGUCAACUUUGGUUUCUGAUAUGGCGACAGUUCCAAAUUAGCGCGACUUCACCAAAAUUAUUGUAUCUUGGUGUGCAAGCCUUAAGGUUUUAAGAAAUUAUUAAUUGUCGGAAAUUAAAAUACAAGAGCUUCAUUCUCACCAAAUGCUCAAGUCUCACUGAAUUUUAAACGUCGUGAAGGUACAUGAAAAAAUACUUGAAUAUUUGGCCAACAUAAAAGCAUAGCAAAUCCCCGGACUUCAAUGCAAAUCCUUGGAACCUCCUAAAAGAUAUUAAUAAUUUCAUUAAAGACACCAAUUUACCAUAUCGGCUAGCCUCCUUUAAAUCAAACGGAAUCCAAAGUUUAACAUAAGAAUGUUGCCACAACUCGAUUUUCAAGUGUUGAUUGAAUGGAUUACAUUGCAUCGUACUUCAUUUGGAGAACGAAUGAGGGAUUAUGUAUCUUGUGAACUUAUGCGACUAAACUUAGAAUGAAACUCUAAGUUGCCUCUGUACCUGAGUGAAGAGGAUCAAGUCAUACCGUAGUUCAGAACAGGUAAUGUUUUUUGUUUUUUAUGUACUAACUUUUCCUAGGCCACCUCUUUUGAGGUUUUUAACCUAGCGGACUUUUUUUUAUUUUGUGUGGGCCGUACACAGUUUAGACUCAUGCGGGCCAAGAGUGUAGCAACAUGCAAUUUAGGUUCAUGCAUCAAGUAGCAUCAUGACUUGCAGUUUAGGAUCAUAUGUCGAAGAAUAUGGUACUAUCAAGGAUAAUACUUCUUCGAAAACAUGCAAUUGAUAGGGUCGAAUCUCAUGUCAUCUGCAUCAAUCGGCUUGUAAACCCCACUUGAGUAAGCUUCUUGUACGACAUAUAGCCAAUCCCAUUUUGAAUUAAACUUUCCUAUAAUUUUAUGAGAAGUAAUAAUGGGUCUUCUUAUGGCAAUGAGUUGAUCUCCUACUUCAGAGGAUCUCAGCCGAACUAUUUUAUUGAAGGCGUGAGACAAUCGAACUUGAUAACAUUCAAGACUCUAUUGAGCUUCCAACCUCUUCUCAUCAAGAGCCUCCAACUCUGAUAAUCUAAGUCGAGCAUUUUCUUCAUUAGUGAUCCCUUAUUUAAUAGCCAGUUGUAAUGAAGGUAUUUGAAAAUCGAGUGGCAAGAUGGCUUCGACUCCUUAAACGAGUGAAAAAUGAGUCAUUUGUGAUGGCAUGCGGCGAGUCAUCCUAUAUGCCCAUAAAGGUUCUUCCAUGCGGUCAUUCCAAUCUCGUUUGGAUUUGGAAAUGACUUUCUUUAACAAGUUGCAUAGAGUUUUGAUGAGUGCCUUAGCUAGACCAUUGGCGGUAGUAUUGUAUAUUGAAGAGUUACAUUCUUGAAGCCAAAGAGAUCAAAAUUUUUGUUCAUAAACCUAUUUCUAAUGACUUUCUAUUAUCCGUUAUUAUGUAAUGAGAAUUGCCAAAGCAAUAGAUUAUGUUUACUGGAUGAAACUUGCAACAUUUUACUUAUUUAGCUCCUUAAGAGCAACAACUUCCGCCUAUUUUGAGAAGUAGUCAGUAGAAGCAAAGAUGUACAGGUGCUCACCAGAGGACUUUGGUAGUGGUCCAACAACAUCCAAUCCCCAAGCGUCAAAUGUCCAGGAUGUAACAGUUGGGUGCAACACUUCAGGAGGUUGAUGAAAAAAAUUUGCAUGGUAUUUACAAGACUUUCAUCUUCGAAUGUAGUCCAAGCAAUCUUUUACCAUUGUUGGCCAAUAAUAUCUUAUCCUUUUUAUAUGGAAGUGAAGCUUUGGUCCAAACUGGUGUGACUCAUAUAACCCAGAAUGUGACUCUUGCAAAACUUGGAGUGCUUAUUCUUUCCCUAAGCAUCAAAAGAGUACUCCAGCCUUCGUAUCCUCGAAUUUCUGGAAGUGAGGUGCAUGACGACAGAUUUCAGUCCUUCUCCUCGGAUUUUCCGAAAGUAUCACAUAGCAUAGUAGUUGAUUAUGGCUUAUCACCAUUCUUUUUUUCAACUUCAGAAAUAUCGACAAGAUGCUUGAGUUCAUUUUCUUCACCUUUAGCCUUAUUAGCGGGGGUACUAUCCAUUUUUGAUACAGUAACUUGUGCUAGAUCAGGCAGGGUUAACGAUAAAGCUAGGGCAGCUAAAGCAUCAACCAUCUUAUUUUCUUUCCUUGGCACAUGCUAAAUAGUCGCAUCACCGAGCCACCCCAUUAAUUUUUUAGCGUAAUCAUGAUAUAGGCGUAGUUCAGGAUUCUUGACCUCGUAACUAUCUAAAAAUUGAUUGACCACUAACUAGGAGUCACCAUAGACUUGAAAUUGCAAUUGCUUCAUAUCAACGACCAUUUUAAGCCCAUGUAUUAAUGUUUUAUACUCAACAACCACUACAAAAAACUUGACUUUCAACAACUAAGUCUUAACUAAGGGAUAGAGAUUUGGUCGUAAUAAGUAUAUUUUUAACGACACAAUCUUUUUCCGGUCGUGGAUUGCCAAUUUCCAGUGUGGGGACAUUAUAAAGUUUAAAUCCAGUCACAAUUAGCAAAAAUUUAAGGCACUAAUUGUUCCCUCUUUAUUUUUCACAACCCAUGUCUCUCAGCUCGCCACUUCCACCCCCUCCCCCUCCCUCCCAACAAAAAAAGGAAAACACUAACCUUUCCUCUGUUUUGAUCGCAAAACAACAACAACAACUACCCAGUAUAGUCUCACAACAUUGGGUUUGGGGAGGGUAAUAUGUAGACGGGCCUUACCCCUACUCGAAAGGGCAGAGAGGCUGUCUCCGAUCGCAAAACACAUUCAAAGAUAUGUUAAAAAUAAUUUCAGCCUUAUCUCGUUUCUCCUCACCAUCACCUACUUAUCUACUGGUCUGAUUGUUGUCACAUGUGAUUGAUAAAGAAAAUGCAUCAUUUUUAGAGUUCUCUUCUCAUCAAUAUAAGUUUCUGCUUUUGCAACCAUUAGUUGCACUUUUAUAACUAUCAAUUGGGAAUUUUCUUCUCAUCAAUAUAAGUUUCUGCCGUCGUAACUAUUAAUUGCACUUUUGUAACUAUUAAUUGCAGUUGUAGAAUGUUGAAUUUUCCAUAGUCAUGCGUUUACACUGUAUAUAUAUUUCAAUCUAAGGUUCUUUUGCUUGUUAUGGUAUCUGUAAAUUUAAUUUUGGACAAAUAUUUAUAGCUACUCUGUUUACAUAUUUUUGGUACUAUGUUGUAUGUACUGAUGUGAGCACAUUAUUUAGUAGGUUUUUUUGAAGUUAAAAAGAGGUGGGAUGAUGCUGAUUAUUGAAUACACUCGUUAAUCUGAUAAUUUGUGAUGAUUAUACUCUAUCCAUUUUCAGCCAUUGAUUUGAAAUUGAGUUUUACUGCUCCGUCAUUAUAAGUAUUUUCAGUUUGGAUGGGUAAAAAAUCAUAGUUUUCUUUGAUAAAACAAGCUAUUUGUUGUCGUACUAGGUGAAUCCUAAACUGACUUGAAGAAAAGUCCUAAUGUCUUUUCUGACUUUUGACCUAUCGUUUCCUACGUAAGAAAUAGGAGAAGUGAAAAUUUGAAGAGAAACCACUUUCGUUUUUAAUUCAUACUUUCAUCACACUAUCUUUUUCAGAAAAAUAGUAUUUUAUAAUUUUUUCUGUGAUUAAGAUUCUGAAAUUGUUAAACACGAGUGUGCCAACACAAUUAUCAUAAGAUGAAGUAAAAGGUGCAUUAUGUGACUAAGUGUGAAUUGCCAAAUUUACAUUACAUGUUAUAGUAGUUAAAUAUAAGCUUGAAGACAUCGAAGCCUGAAGUCUAUUCUAUAUAGAUACUGAAUAAGUUUUCCUUGUUGCUACCUGAGAUGUAUUAAUUGAAAGUUAGAAACAUGUUGAUUCGAUGAUUUAGCAAUAUCUUUUAUAUUUUGAAAAGAAAAUGUAGACCUUUAUAAAUUGUGUUAGUAAUUAAUUUUGCUAAGGUUUUGUACUUCACUUAUUCAAUAAAUAUUUUUGCAAAAAGACAUUAUUUGUAUUCUAGAGAAUGUGAUUUUAAUUUGAAGGAUAAUUUUAGAUUCUAUUUUGACGAGUGUGAAAGCAUUGGUAACGAAAAGGAUUAUUUGAACAUUUAGAUUCUUUAAUUCACUUUGUAACUAGAAUUUGUUAAUACAUUCUUGUGUUUGUUUUUCUACUUGAUAAUAUUUCCUGAUAAUUCAUAUUCAACAAUAAUACAAAUAAGAGCAGACACAUUUCUCUGUUUUUUAAUUUUGAAAAUCGUCCAAUAUUGUGGGACUAUCUGGUAGAUGUAAGUUAUUGAUGGCGACCUUUAUUAGAUAUUCAUUGUUUUGCAUCUUUUGUAUGACUGAGCACUAAAUUAUCGAGGUCUCCUUUUUUUUUUUAGUAGUUUAUUCUUUAUUGUUAUACUGACAUAGAAUUAUUCUUUUAUCAGAUCAAGGAUUUGAAACUUUGAAUAUCCUUCCCUUGAAGGAAGUAUAGAGCAAGUUGAAGUACACUAUGUUUUUAUUUUGCUAGGGAUGAUUUAAAGAUAGUACCUUGUGUACAUUUGCUAUAAUUUUGUUUUCUUUUUAGGAGUUGAUAAAAAUGAUGUCAACCAAUGUGGAUACAUAUAUUUUCUAGUAGUGUGAUGCUUUAGUCCGAUGUACUAACAAUGAGAUUUUUGUUAUUAUUGAUUAUUUGAUUUAUAUAUGGAUGUGUCUAUAUGUGUGUAUAAUCAUAUGAAAUAAUUAAUUAUUAGAAUUUGGUAAUAUAUAUUUUUAAUUACAUAUUUCACAUUAACGAAGUAAAAUUUGGCCUUUAAAAGUAUCGUUCGGAAGUAACACACAAGUAACGAAGGGAGUUUUGGCCGUUAAAAACACUUGCAUUGGCAGAUUUAGUUGUUCGUCAUUAAUGCUUUUAAUGACAUGAUGAUUAAGUAGCAAAGGGAAAAGUUUGUCAUUAUAAAGCAAAUAUAACGACCUGAAUUUAUGUCGUCGUUAAAGAAUCUAUAACAGCCGGAUUGAGAUCCGGUCAUUAACUUUUAACGUCAAGGCUUUUAACGACCGGUGAUGAUGGUAUUUUUUUCGGUCAUAAUUAACUUAUAAUAACCGAAUUUGGACUUUUAACGACUGAAUUUUCCCUCGCUAAAAGUCUAUUUUCUUGUAGUGAACAAUGUUGGAACAGAGUUUUGUCAAGGUGAAGGAGUAGGUGAAGACUUCACCUUGGGAAGUGACAGAUACUACGCCAGCACCAGCUCCUCCAUGAUGCACAACAUCAUCAAAGUACAUCUUCCAUGGAGGUUGAACUUAAACGACUAUUGCAUCAUCAACAGGUAGCUCGUUAGUUAACUCUAGUCAUCGGGUAUCAGAUAAUCUGCCAAGAGGUUUCUGCCAAUGCUUGUCCUUUUGCAGCCUUUUGAGGGAUGUACAAAAUAUUGAAUUAUUGAAAUUGGAGGUACCAUCUCGUUAGUCGAUCACUAAGAAUAGGUUUUGACAUCACGAACUUGAUGGGAUUUGCUUUAGAAACAAGACGGACAACAUGAGCUUGAAAGUUGUUUCAACUUUUGAAUUGAGAAGACUAGCGCCAAACACAACUUUUUAAUUCACAACAAAAAAACUCAUAUUAGCUAAGAAUGUCGUUGCUAAUCUAUAACUAAAAUGAUCGUAGCUAGCAGAAUUUCUCGAUAAUUUGUUGCUAAUUCGUAGCUAGAUGAGAUUACCAAGGGAUAUUCCUGUUUAGCUACAAAAUUUGUCUAUCACUAAAACCUGAAUUUUUAGUAGUGAUUGGCGAAUAGUUCAUCUAGUUUGGUGUCAUCACCUGCUCAAGUAGUAAAGAGAGUUUUCUUUCCCCACACUAUUUCUUCGGCCAACAGUGCUUCAACAGACCUUUCUUGAGUUACAAUGUAUAGUAUCGAUGGCUUUCCAGGUAUAUGAUCUGCUAAAACUGAAGACUUCAUCAAGUAGAUUUUGAUACAUUCAAAGGCAUUGCUACAAGCCUGGUCCCACUUUAAAGGAACGCCUUUCUUUAUGAGGCGACUAAAUGGUUGGAACCUCCUUGCUAGGUUCAAGAUGAAUCUUCUAAAGUAUGCUAGCUUUCCUUGCAGACAUUCAUGAAUAUCUCGAGGCUCAUGCAUUUUCAAAAUGGCAUCCACUUUGGUUUGAUCAAUUUCGAUCCCUCAAUGGCGUACAAUGAAACCAAGGAACUUUCAAAGUAACUCCAAAGGCAUAUUUCAAUGCAUACAUCCUAAGUUGGUACCUCUGGAGCAACUCAAAUACUACUCUCAAGUCUUUCAAGUGGUUUCCCUCUCUCUUGAUUUUACCACUAAGUCGUCAACAUAAGAUUUGACAUUCUUGUGGACAAGAUCGUCAAAAAUAUUCCACAUAGCCCUUUGGUAAGUAGCACUAGCGUUCUUCAAGCCAAAAUGCAUUACCUUGUAGCAAUAAAUACCCUUGGGGUGCGGAAUGCAGUAAGUCUUCAUCUUUUGGUUCCAUGCGAAUUUGGUUAUAUCCCGAUGAACCAUCCAUGGGAGACAUUUCCUCGUAACCAGUGGUAGCAUCGAUCAUCAACUCUAGUAUAGUAAGUGAGAAUUCAUCUUUGGGGAACACAUUGAUGAGAUCCCUGAAGUCAACAAAUACUCGAAUCUGGCCAUUCUUCUUCAUUAAAGGGACAAUACUUUAAACCCAUGUUGGGUAUUUAACUUCCCAAGUAAAUCCAGCUUCAAUGAGUUUCUUAACUUUGGUUUCAAUCAAGGGAACCAAGUCCGACAUAAAGCGCCUUUGAUUUUGCUUAAUAGGACGAGUGUUAUUCUUGACUGCAAGGUGAUGGACUGCUACCUUAGGGUCCACACCAGGCAUUUCUUUGUAACUCCAAGAAAAAACAUCCUAAACUCCUAGAGUAACUCAAUAUAAGUGAUUUCUUCAUCAACUUCUAGUAAAACACUUGGGUAGGUGGGUCCUGGUUCUUCACCAGCGCCAAGGUUAACUUCUUUUAAGGCGUCAAUCAUUGACUGCACCCUUUCUUUAGGUUUCGACGGAGCAUCUGCAUCUUCAUAUUCUUGAGAGUCCCCAUUAUUGAAGGAUAUGUGAUAAUAUGGUGAACAUCAUCCAAUUUCUCGUCAUCCUCAAUUAAAGAUGAAAUAUCGUGCUCGCCUUGUGCAUUAACAUGAUUACAAAAAACCAACACUUUCUUUGUCUUCAUCAUGUUCUUUAGUGUAGACCACAGUGUAUGGCUUCACCUUUAGAACCUCAUCACAUGAAACCAUGACUUUUGUUUGUUGCCUCAUUCUAUAAGAAACCAGACUCUGGAAAUCCUUAGAGAUAUUUUGAAUUUCGGGCAAAGUGGGUAUCCUUGUAUUUUGAUAAUUUCUCUGGAAAUUAUUCCCUUUCUUUAAAUGACCCAAUCUCUCAAACAUGGAAGUACUCACAGUUGUUCUCUAAGUCGAUCAAAGGCAUAAGGCUUGUUAGAAAGGACAUAUUUAUCUUCUACAAUGAUAUAAUUGGUGCUCGCUCUUCUUAUGGAGAUGCGCACUGGUGAUGGUUGCUUGUAUCCCAAACCUUCACGUGUUUGUAUUGUCACAAAUGUUGAUGGUAGCUUCCCUAACUUUGACAGAUCAUUAGGAUUGUGUCCAGAUUUUGCAAAUAGCCUAUAAAAUGUUAGGAUCAAAAUAUUCAUCUGUCCGCUUUAUAGGGAGUGCCAUAUUCUACAAAUGAUUUUAGGCCAAAAACCCUGCAAGCGGCAUUGAGGACUACUUUACUGCCUCAAUUCAUUUGACUGGAAGAGUUAACCCUAUUAGCAUGUUAGGUUGGAGAUUAGAUGAUUCACCUUUAUCUUUUUUUCUUUUUAGGGACGUAUUGGAGCGGAGGAGUUACUCUCUUGUCGUGAGACACAAUGUUCCCUUUAUGAGAAUUAUUUGGGUUAGGAAGUAACUUCACAGCAACAACUUUGGUUUUGUCGGCAACUACCUCAACCCUCUUAGCCAUGGGCUUGUCAUCCUUGUCAUUCAUGAUAUCAUAAAUUUUUAGCUCAUUCACUAUGCGGUUCUUCAAGUAGAACUUUGCAUCGGCGAAGUGUGACUCAGCCUCGAUGAUUGGCUCGUCAUUGGCAAUAUCUUCUUCUCGACUUCACCUUCAUAUUAUUUCAAACAUUGAUGUUAGGUAGAUGGAACUACUUUAUUCUCAUAUAUUCAAGUCCUUCCAAGCAAGGCAUUACAUGAAGUCUUUGCAUCGAUCACAUGCAGCCAUGCCCUUGAUUGCAUAUUUUAAUGGUGAUUCCCAGCCUGAUCGCGCCUAUAGCUCUUUUCCCCCAUUGGUUGAAUCUAUGGAUCAUCACAUGACUUUCUAAGAGUUUGUUCAUGGGAAUUCCAAGUUCUUUCACAAUACGAAUUGACAAAAUGUUCAUUAAGGAUUCUUUAUCAACCAAAAUUUGAUUUACCCUUUCAUCUACAUUUAGCCAACCAGGUACAAUAGGCGAUUAUGAAGAGUGUCACCUAGAAAAAGAUCGUCAUUUGUGAAUAUAAAGUUUCCCUCCCAAGCAUUAACUUCUUGAGGAGUGGACUCGGUGAGUUUCUCGAAGAUGGUGCCAAUGGUAUGUCAUUACUCUUCUUCCCAUUUGUCAACAUGGAAACAAAAGGCAUCAAUACCCCUAUGGGAAAUCUUCAUGUGGAACCAACUUGGUAAAAACUCCUCCAUGGUUACUGGAUGUCAUGGCUUUUGAGGGUGGUGCACCUCCACUUUUUCAGCAUUUUUAUGCUUAACUGGAUUUCAUAUCCUCGGUCUUUUCACCAUUAUUUUCCUUGUUGGUUGUUCCAUUUAUAAUUUUCAUAGGCUCCUUUUUUGGCGCCUGCGACAAGUAACCAACGUCCAACCUUCAUCAUAAUCAGGUUGAUCAUCUUCAACCUUGUUGUUCUUUAGUAAUUCUUCAUCUUUACUUUCUUUAAAACACAUAAUUCAUCUGGAAUGAAUGAGCCAAAGGUGAUAGAGACUUAGUUUGUGCUUGAUUUCUCAUCUUCAAGAACGAUCUUCUUUUCAUGAGCCAAGAUAAUAACUUUGUCCUUGAAGACAAAGCACUUCUCUAGGGGAUGGCUUAUAAGUAAAUGGUAUUUACAGUAAUUUGGGUCAUUCAUUUUACCAGCUUCAUUCAGUCGCUUCAUCUCCAAAAGCUCAAUAAGAUUUAACUCGAGGAGUUCUUCAAAAAGUAUUGGCAUAUCAAAAUCCAGAAAUGGAUACUCCUUCUCUUGAGUUUCAUUUAGAUCAACUUCACACUUGGUUUAUCUUGAAAAGAAGUGGAUUUCGUACUCUAAUUCUCUCUCACCUUCAUGGUGAACUUCACAGGUGAUAUGUUGACAUUCAUAGCUUCUUUGUAUUCGGACUUAAGUACAAACUUGAUCUAUUUCCUGACUUCUUCCGUGUUGUUCCCUUUGUGAGGCUCAAAGACAGGCAGUCGUUCGUUUCCAAUGGAGACCAUGCUUAACUCCUUAUGGCACGAGUCACAAGUUCUUCAAAUGUGCUAGGCUUGAUACCUUGCAAGAUGUAGCGAAGCCCCUAAUGCAUGCCUUGGUUGUAUAUCUCUAUGCCAGAAGUUUCACUAAGCCUCUCCUUGAAGUUGAGGCUCGCAUUCCUCCAUGAAUUGAUAAAGUCAAUAACUGGUUCACCCUUUCGUUGAUGAGUAUUUGUAAGUUCUAUCAUUAUCACAGUACGUCUCGUGCUAUAAAAGCAAUUGAGGAACUCUUCCUCUAGUUGAUCCCAGCUAUCAAUAGAUCCAGCCUCGAGGUCUGUGUACCAGUCAAAGGCAUUUACUUUUAGAGAGCGGAUAAACUACUUGACGAGAUAAUCUCCACAAGUCCUAACAUUGGUGCACGUCUCAACGAAGAGCGGCACAUGUUUCUUUGGAUUACCUUUCCACUAAACUGUUGAAACUUUGGAGGUUGAUAACCAGCAGGCAUCUUCAACAUAUCGACUCUUGCAGUGUACGCUUUUGCAUAUGUAAGGAAGGACUUGGUAGCAAAUUCAUACUAGUUCUUAAUGGUUCCCUCAAUGAACUAUUUCAAUUGAUCAAUUGGAAUCAUUCCUUGAGAUAAGACAGAGAUAGCCUUAGCGGAUGCUACUUGUCUUUGGGGAUAAUCACUCUUUGGAACUUCUAGGUGAUUGCUAGGUGCAUGGGUAGAUUCUUCUUCCAUCAUGAUUCACAUCCUAUCUUUUAGUUUGUCGAUUCUAGCAUCUUGAUUUUGCAUGCACUUGUUCAAGCCAGUGAUUGCUUCCAUCAAGUUUGCCAACUGCUCCUCCACAGAUGAAGUGUUUUUCACUAUGGCUUGCAUGAUUGUCGUGGACGAUGGAGAGUAGCAUGAAUUUUCACACAAAUUGACCCUAAUUAGCUCAAGCUAUGUGGUGUAAGUGGGGAGGAUCCAUUACUUGAAGCAUCAUCAUCUUCCUUCACAACAUAGUGCUUGGAUACAGAGAGGUCAAGCAGAGCAAGAGUUUUCUUGAUCUUUUUAGCAACAUCGAUUCUUCCUUCAGUGCGUUUGUGAAGAUCUUACUCCUUUUGAGGAUGAAAAUCUGAAAAAUAGGGGUUGAUAUGGACGUCACUUAGGGUGCUUGUUGUACUAACGAGCUUGCUUUACUCCUCGUCACUGGUCCAAAGCUUCCAAAAGUGACAUCGAGGAUGCUUUCCACAUCAUCAUAGAACCUAGAAUUAGCAGCCUUGGUGGAAGUGAAUUGGAGUUGAUUUUCUUUGAAGUCAUUUCAAUGUUCUUGAACUUUAGUGAUUAAAAAGUUGAGAUAAGAGGUAGAGAUUGUCCCACUGGGUGUGCCAGAAUUUGUAGACAACAAAUUUGCAUCAAGGAAAAAUAAUCACGAUCGAAAAUAUGACAAUAAUCAUAGUAUUUUAUUUCAAAUGUUUGAGUGUUACAAUCUUUAUGAAUCCUUUGGUUCUUCUUUCUAAUAAUAAAUAAAUUCAAAGAACCUUUGAGCAUGAUCUUGAAUAUGUAGUCGCUACGAACGAUCAUCUUGUUCUUGAGCUUUAGCUUGAAUGCUUGAACUUGACCUUGAUUUUGUUCUUCGUUCUUGAGCUUGAACUUGAUUUGUUCUUUGUUCUUGAGAUUGAACGGGAUUGCUUGAGCUUGAAACCUUGUGGAGGAAUUCGCAGUGUUUGAUCCAUGAACUCUCUCUUGCUUCUUAUUAUAAUUCUAGUGUCUUUUCUAGGUUAUGAAGACAUCUAUUUAUAUUUAUGGAAGGGAAGAGUGGUGAUAAGAACAAAUGUUUUCCGACCAAUUAGAUUGAAGCAUGACAAGGCCACAUUUGAUUGUCCAGACCAAGUCACUUGCACACGUGGCGUUAUUUCAUUAGCCUUUUAAUAUGAUCUUGGCAUGUCGUGUCAUUUUAACACGUGGCAUGAUCCUAUGGCUCUACCGUCUGACUUGGUGAUCCAUGUCAUUUGACACGUGGAACCAAACUGGGCCUCUAGGAAGAUGAUAUCUUAGGCCUAAUAAAGUGGGCUCAUCACUUGUAACCCUAUCAAAUGGGUUAGUCCAAUGGAUUAAGACUUAUUUAUUUAAUCCAUAUAUUUUGAAUUUAUAUAAUUAAUUCAAUUAUUCUAGCCCAUAAUAUUUAUUUGGACUAGUACAUUUAUUGUAUAGCCCAAACUAUCUAUUGAAUUUAAAUUCAUACAUGCUAGUUUCAUUCAAAUAAAAGGGAUAAGGAAUACCGUGUGAGGAAAUGUCCCCGAAAAAUGAAGCUGCAUCGGUUUCUCCUAGGAAUUAGAGAACAUUCAACCAAUUACCCACCAUAAAUAUUUCUUCCUUUAAUCAUAUACUGUAUUUCAAAAUCUGACCACGGUGGUCGACCUAACUAGGAUUUCGCCCAAGCGGCGGUACAGUAAAAGACGUCAUGAUUCGCUCCAAACCACGUACCCAUGGUAUUUGCUACGAUUAAGAAUCACACUCAAAGAUUGAUGAUGCUAAUGGUCGUGGUACCGAAAUGCAUCCGUCCAAGAAUACAUCAGACUCUAUGGCUAUAUAUAGAGGGGUUUUUUCUGACACUGGGUAAUCUUUGGGGUAGAAAAAGGUUUUUGAGAUCUUUUUGGGGAAAAGAACUGAUCCCUCAAAUAUGAUGUAAAUAAUACUCUCCAUCGAUUGGCGGAAGGAAGAGUUUCAAUAAGACUGAUUUCCCCUACUUUACCUCAUUCCAUUUUGUCUUCUUUAUUGAUAGAUCUGGAACUUAUUAUGCUUGACUAGGAUUUACCUCUUCAUCUUCAUUUAUUGAUUUAAUCAAAAGGGUAUUAAUAUCUUUUGGUCAAAUUUUGACGCUGUCUAUGUAGAUUUCUUAGUCAAAGUUCAUAGUCUCCUUCAGAUCAAGACUCGGAUACAUAGUCACUCACCAAAAAGAAUGGUAAAUGAACCUCACAUGCAAAUCCAGAGCACAAUGCUGCAAAGAAAUAGAAGUCACAAUCAAAUCUCCGCGCAAAGCUUACAAGAGAGGACAACGCUCAGCACGCAAAUCCCAUAAAGGAAUGGGAAUGUCUUACAUAAUAACUAACGCAUCAAAUGUUCUAAUGACCUAACCCAUGCAAAGCCAAGGCAUGCAAUAAAAGGGGGAAGGCUGAUUACGGCCGCAGAUUCCGCAAGCCAUCAUAUCAUCAACCACCUAAAAGUUAGGAAAAGCGAAAUACAUCAUAAAGUUGUCCUCGCCCAUUGGUUCAUCGGAUCAAGGUAAGGAAGAGUUCAUCUCGACUCACCUUAUGUUGCUUUCUUGAAUAGGGACAUAAGCAUCGCAUAGCGAGCGAUAAAAGAAGCACUUCGGCAAAAGAAUAGAAACAUUAACAAUAAAUAACCCAAACAUUGCCAUUUUCAUACACCACAGCUCCUAGGUUGAGACGUCCCCCAAGUGAUGCUCCUACCUACCAGGUGCAUCCUAAUUGGGAUCUCCCCGAGGAAAUAUUGAGCGAUAAAGGAGACAUCACCAAGUCGAAGGGGCUGAACAAGGAAAUUCUAAUAUAUACAUAAGAUAUAUGUUGGCAAAAUAAUAGCAUUUAAUACUCUUUGGCACUGCAUCCUCUAGAUCAGAGAAGACUGGGACUAACGACGGAUUAACAUUUCGGCCUAAAUAACGCCCUUAAGGCCUAGGGCCAUCGCCAAAUAGAAGAGUUCGACCUCGAUCGAACAACGAUGAGUUUUUUGACAAAAUCUCGAAAUAACACCCUUAAGGCCAAGGCCUAUCAUCAAAAAGAAGAGUUCGACCUCGAUCGAACAACGAUGGGUUAAUAUUUCGAUGAAAGCUUGAAAUAACGCCCUUAUGGCCAAGGGCCAUUGCCAAAGAGAAGAUUUCGGGCUUGAUCGAACAACAACGGGUCAAUAUUUCAAUGAAAGCUCUAAAUAACACCAUAAAGGCCAAGGGCCAUCACCAAAGAGAAUAGUUCGACCUCGAUCAAAUAACGACGGGUUAAUAUUUCGACAAAAGCUCUAAAUAACACCCUUAAGGCCAAGGGUCAUCGUCAAAGAGAACAGUUCAACCUUGAUUGAACAACGAUGGGUUAAUAUUUUGACGAAAGCUCAAAAAAAUACCAUUAAUGCCAAGGGUUAUCGCCAAAGAGAAUAGUUCAACCUCGACCGAACAACGACGGGUUACUAUUUCGACGGAAGCUCAAAAUAGCACCCUUAAGGCCAAGGGCCAUCACCAAAGACAAGAUUCGACCUUGAUCAAACAAUGGCAUGUUAAUAUUUCGAUGAAAGCUCGAAAUAACAACCUAAAGCCCAAGGGUCAUCGCCAAAGAGAUGAGUUCGACCUCGGUUGGACAAUGACAGGUUAAUAUUUUGUCGAAAGCUCGAAAUAACACCCUUAGGGCCAAGGGACAUCGCCAAAGAGAAGAGUUUGACCUCGAUCGAACAACAACGGGUUAACAUUGUCGAUGAAAGUUCGAAACAAUAUCGUAUGCAUAAAUGCCGCGACCAUAGAGGACUGGGACGAAUAACAGGUUAACAUUUCGAUGAAAAUUCAAAAUAAUACCCAUAAGGCUAAAAGCCACCGCCAGAAAGGACUGGGACUCGUGAGAGGUUAACAUUUUGAUGAAAGUUUGAAAUGAUUCCCUUAAGGCUAAGAGACAUUGCUAAAGAGAAGAUUUCGACCUUGAUCGAAUAAUGAAAGGUUAAUAUUUUGACGAAAGCUUGAAAUAACACCCUUAAGUCCAAGGGCCAUCGCCAAAGAGAAGAGUUCGACCUCGAUUAGACAAUGACGGGUUAAUAUUUCAAUAAAAGCUCGAAAUAACUCCCUUAAGGCCAAGGGCCAUCACCAAAGAGAAGAGUUCGACCUCGAUCGAUCAAUGACAAGUUAAUAUUUCAACGAUAGAUUGAAAUAGCACCCUUAAGGCCAAGGUCAAUCGUCAAAGAGAAGAGUUUGACCUCGAUCGAACAACGAUGUGUUAAUAUUUUGAUGAAAUCUCGAAAUAAUAUCUUUACGGCUAAGGGCUAUAGUCAAAGAGUCCGACCUCAAUCGAAGAGGGACAGGUUAAUAUUUCGACGAAACUCUAAAUAACACCCUUAAGGCCAAGGGUCAUCUCAAAAGAGAAGAGUUCAACCUCGAUCGAACAACGGCCAAGGGCCAUCGCCAAAGAGAAUAUUUCAACCUCAAUCGAACAACAACGGGUUAACAUUUCAAUGAAAGUUUGAAACAAUAUCCGUAUGCAUAAAAGCCGCCACCAGAGAGGUCUGGGAUGGAUAACAGGUUAACAUUUCGAUGAAAAUUCAAAAUAAUAACCAUACGGUUAAAAGCCACCCCUAGAAAGGACUGGGACUCGUGGCAGGUUAAUAUUUUGAUGAAAGUUCAAAACGAUUCCCUUAAAGCUAAGAGCCAUUGCCAAAAAAGAUCGAGACAUGCAAUGAGAAGAUAUUUCAAUAUAAUCUAGAAAAGUAACGUCCCUACAGCUAAGGUUAGUACUAGAGGAAAGAGUUUGAUGCCGCUCGAAUUAUGAUGGGAUAGUACUUCGAUAUAUGUUCGAGGAUAUCAUCCUAUAGUUGAAGUCGUUAUUGAUAUCCUGCUUAAUCUAUGCGGUAUUAAAUUAUCAGAGAAUCGGGAAUCCACCGCACAAGAAUCUAUUUCUAUGCACCAAAGCUAUGAAAAAUAAAAACUCUAUAGAGAACAUGAGACAUACAGCAAUGAAAAUUUUCUUUUUAUACAAAGCUACUGUCCAAACAGCUGCAAAUUACACAAGGAUCAAACCAAUAGAGUCCAUAAAAAAUAACAACAAAGACACCAACUCUUUCACUCGGUAUCAUCACCCACAUACUCUUCUCCAUCAUCUCCAGGAAGUCCUCUUUCAUCAUCAGCACCCUCAUCGCUCUUCGAUAUUGCGGGGUCAUAUACGCAAUUAACACGAGUUGCUCCUUCAUAUGUGGCCUCAUGAACAUUGCCUGCCUCCCACAAACUCUUGUAUAUGUCCCGUUGGGCUUUGACAUGAACCCAAAGCUCAUGCAAAUAAUGGGGAACGGAGCAAAGAAAUACUCUACUUGAUCCAACAGUUGCUCUUUCUCAGUCUAGAGAGCAGCGACUCGAUCACCCAAGGUCGACGCUUCCCGGUCGAUCUCACCAGUACGCUCCUCGAGCUUUUCUUCCCUUAAUAUGGUUGUCGCCCUCUCUGAUUGCUGCUCGAAUUGUAGGAUGCAAAUAAUAUUCUCUAAUGUCAUCGCCCUUUCCAAAUCCAACGUCCAAGCUCCCUCGAUGUCCUCUAGUCCGGCGACCUUUCUCUCCAACUCAGUCAACUUUCCCAUCCACUUUUCGCUCAUUGUCUCGACCCUGAUAAGAUUUUAAUCUAUUUCAGAUUGCAUCGAUCUCAGCUUCUCUUGAAGAUAUUUUCACUUUGCAGUGACCCCUUUUCCCAACUUAAUCUCUUCGUCCUUUACCCAAAGUUGCUCAUCGAGUAUGCUACUUUGCGAAUAGCAUCCAUCAAUUGCUGGUCCCUCUUCUCCAGUUCCUCGCCAAGGAAUUGAUUAUCGAGGUUCGCCUACAGCCGCUCGUGCAUACGUCACUUAUUGUGAUAGAGCAGAUAUCUCUCCAGCAUCGUCAGGAAAAUAUUGGCCCGAGUGUCGGCCUUACGAGCGCUUUCAAUCUCCACCAUGUACAUAUGAAAAACAAAAAGACAAGCUAAGGCCAGAUCGCUAAGGAAAACGAAAGGAACACGAAAGAAAAGUAAAACGUACCCUCAAGCCCAUAGCGGCCAAUUCGUGCAUCAAAUCGAUAUCACGGACAUCCCGAAGAGCCUGACUCUCGGCAGCAGAACACAGAAGGUCAAAUUGCGGCAUCAGGUCCACCAUAUCUGCCAGGAUAUUAAUAUCUAAUGAGAUUUCAAGUACACUAGAAGGACCUCCCGCGUGUACUACCGUACGAGUAAAACCCUCCUCAAACAUCCUGACAUCAUCAGGGUCAAGAUUAGACUCAGAAUCAUAGCCAUCGACCACAACACCCUUUCCCUUUUUGUGGCGAGGAGGAAGCACGACCCGACACGAAAGAUGAAGGUCCGUCCAAAAUAAUAACAGCCUCAAGAUUUUGAGCCCCCAUCCUAGCAGGCUGUUGAUUGGACGCAAUAGCCACAAUCUUCGAUGAAAGGGUUAGAACAAUUGUUGGCUCAGUAACUGCAGACGGAGUAGCAUUGAUUCCUGUCUCAGAACCCGUCGGAGGGAAAUCACCUUCCGAACAUAUCAUGGCCGAGGGAGCUACUUUAGAUUCUACUUGUUGCCUCUUUGGUGGCCCUUCUCCAUCCUGAGUACAGGAAGACUUUCCUACCAGGUAGGCAGUAUGGGUAAGAAUAUCAGACCGAGGGGCAACCUCCGUGCGUAUGCAUGUGGCUGUAGACUCAACAGAAGCGGCCUUUGACGAAGGUCGAGUAGCGAACUGUGAGACAGGGCAGGCGGGUGAUACAGGCUAGCAAAAUGCAAGAGGAGGAGCCCUUGCCCUCCGCACUCUCCUUGGCAUCAACAAAUACCACAUAAACUACAAAGUCAAAGAAAAAGAAAAAGAAAAGGAUAAUGGGAAACAAAACUGACGUUACUCACCAGUAAGGGGCUUACAUCCAUAUCUCUCAUAGAAGGACGACCAGGUGCGAAUUCCCACUGUACAAGGAAGGAUGUGGUUCACCCACUCACAAAUAUCGUCAGCGGGCGCAAGGGGUAGCUUUGCGGAUGUAAGUACAAAAAUAACUAUAACUAUCGACCAAAAAUAAGUGGUCGACCAACAUUCCAACUAGAGAUAUAAAGACUUACGUGCAAAAUUUCAUUUCUCGAGGAAUCCCGUAGGAUCUGCCACAAGGUGCUUGGCCCGCACAUAGAAUUAAUUCUCAUAGAAAUGGUGGUUAGCUUUGUCAUCCAUUUUCACCACCAAGCGUUUCUCCCUUCGGUGGCGCAUGUGAAUCAUUGUGCCACGGAUUGGUUGAGGAGAGAAGAUAUUGAAAUGUGUCUCAAAGUGAUAUCCCGACUAGCAAGCUCCGCAAACUUGAGCAACAUGAGGAACCGUUUAUAUAGGUACGGCAAGAGUUGAGCUGGGCUCAUAAAAGCGGCAAAAAUCUACCACCAAGACAGGAAGAGGGAGCAUAUACCCCAUGAUAAAGGGAUAGGCGUAGAACGCGUAGUACCCUGGGCGGUCAAAGUGGACUAUGUCGUCCCCCAUCGCCGGCAGUAUUUCGACGUGGCGAGGAAUUCCUCACCUGGCCUUCAAAUCUGCAAUCCCCUCCCCGUUCACAACAAAAGAAGUAGGUUCUGGCUCCUCCUUUGUGAGACAGUAAAUAUCAUUCCAUGGUUUCCCUGGGAGAGGCGAGAUCUCAGCCACCGUCAGGACCCCCUCACUUCCACCACUUUUGCCCCUACGGUAGUAGGAAUAUUGCUUUCCGGCACGGGAGUUGUGGCAGGAUGAUCAAUACGAGAAUAAUUACCAGCCAUUUGUAUCAAUUUGACUAAACAAAGGGAUAUAAGAAAGAGGAAUAAACAAGGCAAACGUUCUUGACUAGCCAGAGAAAAUCAAAAAUCUGAAAUAUCAAGAGAAGAGAAGACUUACAAUUUCUUUCGAAUAAAGGCAGAGAAGUGUGUCAAUUGAAUAGUACCUUCCUUCUAUUUAUAAGAAAUAAGAUUCUCUGAGCGUGAGACCCAAGAGUCACAAUCGAAGUUGAUAGGCACGAAACAGUUCAAUCCUCUAGGAAUGUGUGUCAUAAUGGUGGUAACCACAAUAGACAUUUCAAGUCAAACCAUGCUUCAGUUCUGAAACAGCCGCAACAGUCUAAGCGUAUCUCAAGAGCAUCAUUGCAUUCACUUGAAUCGAAAAUCAUACUCAAAGGGUAGAUAGUCAGGUUUCUCUUAGAUGUGUAAAAAUCAUAAUCCGUCUACCGGGCCUGACAGGAAACGACCCCGGCAGACGGAGGAAAUAACUGUAUUGGUCAAAAUCUAACCACGGUGGUCGACCCAGCUGGAAUUUUGCCCAAGCAGCGGUAAAGUAAAAGACGCCAUGAUUCGCUCCAAACCACGUAACCCUGGUAUUUGCUACGAUUAAGAAUCACACUCAGAGAUUGACGAUGAUAACAGUCGUGGUACCGAAAUGCAUCCAUCCAAGAAUAUAGUAGACUCCAUGGCUAUAUAUAGAGGGGGAUUUUUCUAUUUUCCGACUCUGAGUAAUCUUUGGGGUAGAAAAAAAAGGUUUUAAGAUGUUUUUGGGAAAAAAAACUGAUCCCUCAAAUAUGAUGUAAAUGAUACUCUCCAUCAAUGUGUGGAAGGAAACAAUUUCAAUAAGAGUGAUUACCCCUAUUUUACCUCAUUCCAUUUUAUUUGCUUUAUUGAUAGAUUUGGAACUUAUUAUGUUUGAUUAAGAUUUACCUCUUCAUUUUCAUAUAUUUAUUUAAUCAAUAUCUUUUGGUCAAACAUAUACUUCUUGUUGUAAUAUUACGUUAAUUAGUAUUUUUUUAAGGCAAAUAACGACUGAAUUAUUUUCUUUUAAUUUUCAUGUAAAUAAAUUUGAGGUUGUUCUUAAUCUUUCCAGGAAACUGAUUUGAUCACAGUUUGUAAUUUGUUUAGUAGCCUAGUUAACAAGUACCAUGGUGUGUGCUCCUAUAAAUUUUCUGUACUCUAUAUAUGAGAAUUUAAUUUAUUAAGACUUCAAAGCAAUGCUUAGAUUAAGGUUGUUAUCAAGAGGAUUUAAGAUAUUUUUCAGCAUAUAUGCUGAAAAAUAUCUUAAAUCCUCUUGAUAACAACCUUAAUCUAAGCAUUGCUUUGAAGUCUUAAUAAAUUAAAUUCUCAUAUAUAGAGUACAGAAAAUUUAUAGGAGCACACACCAUGGUACUUGUUAACUAGGCUACUAAACAAAUUACAAACUGUGAUCAAAUCAGUUUCCUGGAAAGAUUAAGAACAACCUCAAAUUUAUUUACAUGAAAAUUAAAAGAAAAUAAUUCAGUCGUUAUUUGCCUUAAAAAAAUACUAAUUAACGUAAUAUUACAACAAGAAGUAUAUGUUUGACCAAAAUUAUUAUAUUUGCUCUGUUAGUACAUCAAAUUGGGACUAAGUGCAUCAGCCAUCUUAUUAGACCUGUCAUAUGUCAUUUGUAUAGGAAUUUUUCUUUAACCAAGUAUUUACGGUAAACCCUUAUGACCGGUCCUUCCUUGAAUUUCGUAUAUAAUAGGAACUUAAUGUCUACCGAACUGCCCCCUACAUACAUGUGGGGCUUUGGCGAUAAUGUAUCAUAAGUUCCUAUCAACAAAAUUGGUUCAUCAAUCAAAUUAAGGAGUAGAUUUACAGCCCAUUUUUCAAAUAAAUUAAGUGUUUAUUUUUAUUUCUUUUUGGCCGAAGAGUAGACAGUUGAAUGGAACUUUCACAAGGAGCGGUUUUACUAUGCCUGAAUAGGAGCUGUACACAAGAAGUAGCCUCUUUAAUUUGUUGGUUUCCUUUUGUCCUCCAAUAUGAUAAAAAUAGGGUUUAAGGCUUCUCCUCUUCCAGUUCGUAUAAACUUAGUUUCUUUGGGAAUACUUUAUUAGGAAGAUUCAGGAUGCUGAAAUUCCUUUAAUAAAAAGUGCAUAGAGAUGGAACAUAUGGUUCAAAUAAAUUCUUUGUUUCUUGCAUAUGGUAUUCAUUAAGUUUGAGUCCAUAUAAGAGGCAAUGUGUUAUAAGAAAGAUUCCUGCUGACAAUAGUUGUAAUCUUGGAAUUACAACUUAGUAGUGAAGUGCCAUGUGGUUGAUUAUUUUGUCAUUUUCUAUACAAACAUCCUGUUCUGACACUAGAAAUGCUCUUCAAAUUACCCAAGGCUCGAGCAACAAAAUGCCUCUUUGUAACAUUUGUUUUUUCCUUCAAGUUUCAGAUUGGAAAGAUGAAUUUUUGUAGUAUACUUAUAUUUUAGAAUUAUUAUAUCAGUAGAAGGGAAUAGUUUCAGACACUAUGAAAGCACAAAUAUGCAUAAAUUUCCUCCAAUUAAGGUCUGGUCAUCCUCAUGAUCUCUUACUCACAUUUGUCAUUUUCUUCGUAAAAUAACCUUUGUAAUUUUGAGAAGCACACAAAUAGAUGAACAUCCACUUCUUUAUGUUCUCUUAAACUCCAAACCCAUUUGCCUCUAUCUCUUACCCCCUCUCCAUGAAAUGAAUACACAUGAUGUUAAAAGAUUUAACUCCUGUUUGGCCAUAAAUUAAUUUGGGAGUUUUUCUUUUCCCAAAUUUUAUUUCAAAUAUUUAUUUGUUUAUAGAUUAGUUUUUUACAAUUUUGAAAACAAAUUUUUUAAAUCCGAAAAACAGUUCUAGAGGAGUUUUUGAACCUUUUGAAAUUUUCUAUAAACAAAAUUUCAAACUUUUUCAAGUAAAACGUAUGUCCAAACACAACUUUCAAAAAUCAUUUUCAUCUCAUUUUAAAAAUCUCAUUUUUUUAAUUUUAAACCAAAUCUAUAUCCAAACGGUAGCUAAAUAUCGGUGUCAAAAUUCACAUGGAGAUAUCGUGAAGUAGGUGAUUCUUGUUAACAAAUAUUAUGAUAACAGAAAAAUACCCGAACAAAUAGUACUUACUACUGUAUAGUAAUAUUACCUUUGUAAAUUGUAGUACUACAAAUUAAAAGACUCAACAAAAUGCAUUCUAAUCAGAAACAAGUACCUCAAGAUCUCACUUAGAAUCAUAUCCCAUUCAUAGAGUCAGAUCCAGAGUACUUGCCCCUCUUCUUGCAUUUUCCUUUGUAGCAUAAUUAGCCUCUUCUUUCAAUCUUGAACUAGACAUUGACAAUGAUAAAGUACUCUCGUCGUCGUCGUUGUCGCGGCUGUUAUUUUUUUGCUUUACUCCUAGAGAUAAAUUCAGGUCAAUUAGGUCACAAUCUAUAGCCUUCCUUUUCAAAAGACUCAGUCUUGCUUUAGCUUUUGCAGCUCUCUGGAAUAAUGGAGCCAGCUUAUCAAUAGGACUUUUUCUAAAUAGACCUUGACCAUAUUUUUGUUCACGAAAUAAUCCCAUAUCGUAUUUCAUUUCAUUUGUUCUCCAAGUAGAUAUUUCACUGAUGAAAGAAGGAAUUCCAGUAAUGGAAUCUUGAUGUUGCCGCACUAUUAUUGCUGCCAAAAAUCCUCUCACUGAGUUUAGUGUAAAAUUCUGCUCUGACAUUCAUGUCAAUUGUGCUUUGUGGAAAAUUUCUAGAAGCAUCUCCAUAUCUGGGGAAAUGAGUAAAAAUCUCUCAUAAGUUUGGAAUGAGACAAACAUAAAUAGUGCGACAUAGACACUAAAAAUUCAUAUAGUCAAUUGGCUACUAUUUGCUUGGAAUUGAGGCGUAAUUGUUGUUAUUGUACCCGUUAGAAAGCAAAAGGAAAGAUAAGAAGCCUAUAAUGAGCAUAAUAAAUUUGCAUAAAUUGGACCUUUGAAUAAAGGUUGGGAGGAUAGGGAGUUCACUCAUGUUGUAAAUGUUUGGAUCUUCACCUUCCAUAAAAGGCCUAUAAUUUGCUAUACCUGUCAUGAGGUAAGGAAAUGAAAUUAGUGAAUUUAUUAACCCUAAAUUUAUAAAUUAAAAAGAGAAAAUAUAAAAGCAUACCUUGAGUUGGGUCACCAGUCUUCUUGCUUCUACACAUCUAUGGAAACAAACCAAGAUAAGAAAACAUACAACAAGUAAUUAAUCAGAAAAAAGGAUCAGCAGUUAUAUAUAGGCUAUUAGAUUCAAUGAGAAUAACCUCACAUCUAUUUCUUGAUUUUAUAUGAAUCACGAAAUCUCUUAAAUACUUGGUUUUGUUCUAACUAGGCACCUAAAUGUACCUGCAAAUGGCUCUUGACAUGAGCAAUGUUGAGUCCUUUUAUGUUCAUCAAUUGAAGAACUAAUUUGGGUGUUGCUCCUGCACCAAAAUGAAAAGAAAAAAAAAAGAAGACAUAAACAUUUAAACAAAGGUGAAUUACAAGAGAUCAAUUAGCUGAUAGAAACUCAAAAAGUGAUCGCUUUGCCCUUUUUAGUAGAUUAGUGGUUACCUGUAGCUGAUGGCUAAAGCAAAAACACUCAAGGAACAAUGAAUAAAUUGUAGGAACUCACUAUCUUGUCCGCCAAGUCUUUCCACAGCCUGAACAAAACGGCGAUGGAGAUCAGUUGUCCAUCGAAGUCUAACCAUCUUGGAUCGAACAUAAGGCCUCACAGGGAGCUUCUUCUCUCCCUCUUCAGCAGUACUGUUGCUUGAACUUCCUCCAUCCUAAGGUAAUUCGAUCGAGCUGUUAUCGCCCUCGUCUGAAUAAUUAGGGCUUGUCUUGGAACAUACAGUGUCAUCACUAUCGUCCAUCAUUCCUGGUAAUAGCUCUAGUCUAGCUUCUCUUUUUAGCUUGUCCUAGAAUCACAAAUAGGGAAGAAAGAAAGAAAAAAGCAAAUGAUGUUUUUAGCAUCGCCUAUGAUCAAUAACUUAGGUCCUCUUGUAAACUGCAGAACUUUACUUGUUCUUCUUUCUAUUUGAGGUGGUCUGUACUGUACAAGAAAAUUAUUCUACGUAGAAAAAAUGGGGAAAUCCAACCCUGGACUUCACCUGGAAGAUGGAAUACGUCCCUCUCUCUCCAAUUAUUUAUCUAACUCUUCAUGCAUACAAAUAUAUAGUAAACGCAACCACUUGGAUGAUGUAAUAAGGACACAAUAUUUAAUAUAAUUUUUUAAUACAUAUAUAACAUGAGCAAAUACAACUGAAUUCAUGUGCUAUAUAUUUCAUGCUAGAUCAUAUAAAAAAUCUUGAAGAAAAAUAAAAAAGGGAAGAAAAAUAUAUGAAGCUGAUCAUGUGAGACCAGCUCUUCUUUGUACAGCUUCUGUAGAAAAGCGGCUCGGUCUCUGUUUGAUAUGAUCCAAAAUGUCUUCCCUAAAUCAUUUUUCUAUUCUGUGGUUGUUGAAAAUAUUUCCAACCAAUUUGCGGGAAUAAUUCAUUUUUCAAUAUGACUAUUUUUACCAUCUUCACUCUUACUCCACAAAACUUUCUUAAACAUACGUAAAUAUUACUAAUGUUUAAUACUAAUAAAUUAUCACCGAAACACUAUCUCCAUGCCACGUGACAACACAUUCUACUAUUAGUAUAAGGGGUCGUUUGGUAGAAGGUAUUAGAAAAAAUUAUGCAACCACUAAUUCUAUGCAUUAGUAAUACCUUGUUUAGUACAAUUUUUAAUUUGUGUAUAACUAACAUACUUGAUAUUAUCCCUAUGCAUAAGUAAUGCAUAGAAAAUCAUGGCAUUAGUAAUGCAUGUAUUAGUAUGGUUAAAGAUAAAAUUAUCCUUAAAGUCUCUUAAAGCUUGAUAAUAUGGAGAGUAUUUUUGUAAACAACUAUUUUUCUUAAAAUUUAUGCAAAUGCACUAUAAUUUUAAUAUACCACACCAAACGGUAGAUAAGAAGUAAUAUCUGCAUAACUAAUGUUUGCAUUUCUAACUCAUGCAUUAUUAAUCCAUGUAUUACUAAUACACCUUAUUCCGCUCACCUUAAUAACUCAGGGAACACUGAAAAAUGUACAAAAUGGUUUUGGAAGAAAAAUCAUGUUCGUACGAAAAUAUUUUCGGAUAUCACUCCAUAGCACUUUAAGUUAACCUAUAUAUAAUAUAGCAAUAGUAGAUACUCCGAGCAGUUGGUGCAUAAUGUAGUUUGUAUUUACGUAAAAUUUGGGAAAAAGUUGCAUAUAAGUAUCACUUGCUAAUUUCACAGCUUGAACCGACCAUGAACUAUAAUAUAAUAUACAUUAUGUAUUUCAUCAAAAUUCUGAAACAAGUACUGAGUCAAUUUUGUGGACUACUUCAACAUAACUCUCCACCCAUUUCUGAAGCAGUACAAAGGCCAAUAAAACUUUAAAAUACUCUUGUUUAUUGAUUAAAUUUAAUUAUGUUCUGAGUGAAAAUUUUAUUACUCUUUGUCGCUUUAGGAGUAAUUUAAUUUUGUACUUCAUAUAAUUAACACUAAUUGUGUGAGGUCACGUUUUAUCUCACAUAUUUGUGAACUAGUAUCAUACACAUUUAGAUUCACAGAAUUCUGGAACCCAUACAGUAACAAGUCUUGGGACCACCCUAACGAAGAUUAGCAAUUUUCGAUUUUAGUAUAACAUCAUUAUGAAAAGAUUCCAACAUAAACAUUGCAGCUUUUAUUUAGUUUCCAUAAUCUUCCUCUUUCACACAUUCACAUUGUUACGUAGGAAAUUUUCUCGUGGACAUUUGUCUCAUUUGGCCCAUCCAAUUUAGUUUAAUUAUUGAGCAAUCUAGCAUGACAAAUAUAUAUAAUUACAUAUAACUAACAAAAUUUCCGCAUUUUCCAAGUUAAAGAAAAUGAUUAUUCGUUCAAACCGAUUGAGUCAAAAUCUAUGUUUUCAAUGUAAAGUGGAACUAUCUUUUCUCAUGCUCACGGUGCAUGUUAGUUAACAUACCUCUAGCCCUAGCUACCUUUGUAAGCUCGAUGGGAACACGUAACCCAUCACUGACGGAGAAAAUGAAACAAAAGAUAACUACACCGACCUUCAUCCCCAAUUUAGAUUCAGUUACUAGCAGAAGCACACUAUUAGAAAUUCGAUUAAGACCGAUCAAUUUUGAUCGGUAAAAAGAACAGCCAAAAACCGAUCAAUUUUAAUCGGUAAAACGAACAGCCAAAAAUCGAUCAAAAUUGGUUGAUUUUUCAAAAUAUUUUAAUUUUUAUUUUUUUUAAACGAAAUCGACCAACUUUGGUCAGUUUUCUUUGGCACAAAAAUACGAAAAACAAUUUUUGAGUCCGGAAAAAAUUAUUUUUUAAGAAAUCAACUAACUUUGGUUAGUUUUGCAAUUAAAAAAAUAAAAUUAAUAUUAAAAAAUCGACCAACUUUGGUCGGUAAAUUAGGCCGGUCAUUUUUAAAAAUUGAGCAACUUUAGUCGGUAAUUUUAUUUUUUAAUAAAACAAGCCAACUUUGAUCGGUUAUUUUCGUGCGAAAAUAUAAUUAAAGAGUAUAAAUAAAUAAAAAGACAAUCUUAAAAUAAAAUGCACCAAUGAUCUAGUGGUAGAAUAGUAUCCUGCCACAGUAUACACCACAGUCCGUUUCCCAAACGGUGAAUCUUUUGAUUACAUAACUAAAAUACCGGCCAACUUUAGUUGGUCGUAUUUUGGUCGGUAAUUGGCCAUAACCGAUCAAAAUUGGUCAAUUUUUUUGGUCGGUAUUUACCGGAUUUCUAGUAGUGGUACUGUAUAUGAAAUUGGCUCUUCAUCAAAAAGCUCUGGUAUCUCAAAAAGGUUAGAUCUGAACAUUUCAGUGGCAAUUAGUCAGUUAGCCCUUCCCCCCGGACGCCAGCUAAUGGAACAAUGAAUCAAGCUCAAAAAUGAUAAGUAACCAAUGGAGUUUGGAGAAAUCAACAGUGGCAAAGGUAGUGAAUGCUAAUGAACCUACCAUACCUAAAGCAUCGUGGACAACUCUAUUUCAAGAGAAUAGGUUUGCCACCAAUGGUACGUCAAUUUUCUAUAUGCCCCUACAAAUUAUUGAUGGUUGACGUGUGGUUCAAUUAGAUAAGCUAGAAGUAGAAGAGGAGGAGAAUAAGUGGAGAUGUGCACUGAUAGCAUACAUCACAGGUGAUGGCCCAGGUUACAAUGCAAUAAAACGAUACAUCAGGUUGCAUUGGGCGCAUGUUGCUGAGCCUGAACUGUUCUAUCACGAUGAAGGCUAUUAUAUCAUCAAAUUUCAGUCUGCAGCAGAUGCACAAGAGAUACUAUAUGUUGGACCUUAUUCUACUGCUAACAAGCCCAUCAUCCUAAAACAUGGACUCCAUAUUUUGAUUUCACGGUGGAAUUCCAUACUGUUAUGUCGCGACGGGUAAAGUUUCCUGAACUACAUAUGUCGUGCUAGGGAGAUAGUUCUUUAAACAAGAUUGCUAGUGUAAUUAGGACCUACGUCUUUGUUGAUGAGUGCACUACUAAGCUGACUCAAGUAUCCUAUGCUCGAAUGCUUAUUAAAAUUAUUGUAACCAAAGAAUUGCCCACUGAGAUCAUGGUUACAGACCCUUAUGUAAAGAAGUUUCAACAGUCUAUAACUAUGUAGAAACUUGCUUGCUAUGAUAAAUGUUUGGUUGUGGGAUAUAAAUGUGCUACUCAAGCAUACCCUAUUAUAAAACAACCAAAUCAAAUAAGGAGGGCAAGAGGUAAAAAGGUUGUUACAGAAGAGUGGAGAACCAAAGGGCCUAUACAUGUUGCAACUAAGCCUAAAAACGCAAUACAAACUGCACAUGUUGAACCAAAACUAGAGAGUAACAAUGUGAAAGUUGCAUAUCAAACAUGAGUAACAAGGAUAGCUGAUCCUAGGGGGACUUAAAAGCUAUCUCAAUAAAACACAGCCUUAUUUGUAACUGCAGAGAAGAAGCAAGAUGACAGAGGCAAAGCUAACGCUGAACUUAACUUCACCAACUUCCUAGUUUUGACCCAUCACUUAGUGAAGAAUAGAUUUGAAGUUGUGUCAACAAGUAGAUAUGAGGAUCAAAUACUAUCCAGGAAUAGAUGUGGAAGUACCAUACUCCUAUAAUGAAUUGGUUGUUCUAGAACAUUAGAGGUGUAAAUAAAAGGUAUAAGCAAAAUAAGGUAAGAGAGUAUAUUAGAGUAAAUAAAAUUAAGUGGUAGGACUCAUAUAAACUAAAGUGAAGGAACAGAAUGCUCCAAAGAUUGCAAAAGCUAUUGCACCUGGUUGGAACGUGCCAACAAACUACCAAGCUACACUCAAUGGCAGAUUUUGGAUACUAGGGGAUGCCACUAGCUUACUGGUUAAUGGUAUUAACUAUAAAGCUCAAAUGAUACACUGUCAGGUAAAAAGUAGAAGAAGUGAUAUUGAUUGCUUACUCACAGUAGUGUAUGAAUACAAUGGUAUUGAACAAAGAAGAACUUUUUUGGGAAAAAACUUUGAGUGAGUAUAGCACUCCUUUAGAUGAUAGCUUGGGAUCUUAAUGCAUUGUUAUACUCCAAUGAUAGGCUAUCUGGAAACCCAGUAAACUACUCAUAAAUUCAAGACUUUGUUGCUUGCCUUCAUAGUACUACACUAACAAACUACCUUGGAAAGGUGAUUACUAUACAUGGUCUAACAAGCAACAUAGAUCCGAUAGGGUCAGCAAAAGGUUAGAUAGGGUGUUUGGAAAUUAUGAAUGGAUGAUGUCCUAAGGUCAUGUAGAAACAAGCUACAGAUUGCCUAAAAAAAUCUUAUCAUGCUCCUAUGCUCCUAAUUUUGACAUAAAGGUAGAGUGUCUUUCAGAUUCUUUAACAUAUGGGCAAAACAUUAUGACUUAUCUCAAAUAGUUACUAGCAUAUGGAAUUCACAUAGUUCACAAGGUAGUUUGAAAUAAGCUUGGGAAAGCUUGAAAAAUAUGAAACCUGCUUUGAAAGCUCAAAAAUCUAAGGAAUUUAGGGGUAUAACUCAGAAAAUUGAGAAUGAUAUACUUGAGUUGAGUAACAUACAAGAAAUAAUUUCACAAGGUUGCACUGAUACUUUACUUGAUACGGAGAAAGAAGGUUUGCUGAACCUUGAGAAAUGGUUUUUACUUGAAGAAAGUGUCCUUCAAUAGAAAGCUAGAUCAAAGUGGAUAAAAUUAGGGGAUUCAAACUCUAAGUACUUCAUAGUAGUGAUGAAUCAUAAAUCUCAAAAGAAAGAAAUCACAGAAAUUAUAACUUUGCUAGGAGAUAAGUUGAUUGAUCCUAAUGCUAUCAAAAGAGCUAUUGUUUACUACUACAAAAGAUUAAUGGGAAUUGAUCACUCCCAACUCUAGUCCUAAAAAGGAUAAGCAGUUGCUACAAAUAUAAUCCAGUCUAAAAUUCCGGAGUCGAAUCACACUGAGAACUAAGGCUUAGUUGUAUCUGUUUAAUAUCAUUAAAAAUACAAGAUUGAACAAUUUUCUAAAUUAUAAAGGUUUGAGAUGUAUAUUUUUAACUAAUUAAUUAGCAAACACUAGAAAAUGGUAAAAUUAUCAACUAACUAGACUAAGGGUUGGAGACUAAAUUAAGGAGGUCUAGAGUUAUGAUUUCCCCAAAGUUUGGAACCGUUCAUGCUUGUCUUAUAUACUUUUGCCUAAAUAUUCUCUACCGAUCGUGAGUACUUUGGUUUUCGUAAUUCUCUAUCGAGAAACUACCACAAUUUACUAUAAGUAUUCUCUCGAACUACACGAGCUGACACUAAUUCACCACUCACUACGAUCGUACCAAGGCUUCGCUAUCUCUAGUCCCGCCCUUAAACCCUUUGUAUUGAUUUCUCUUAUAAGUUAGGAGUGAUGUUGUUCAACAACUAUAUAAAUAUGUACUCUCUCUCUCUCUCAAGAAGUACACACUAAAUAGGCACAGUCAAUUAAUGGCCAUUCAAUCAACAACAACAAACGCGUAGUUGAACAAAUAGAUAAAUUCAACGGCUAAAUUAUAUUAAAACAUAACAAUAGUUCAUCCUACAAAAGGUUCUAUCAAAACUCUAGAUAAGAAAUUAACUAUUCAUAAAAGUAUAUGAAAACACAAUACUCAAAUUCAUAACCAAUAAUAAAAAUAGGAAGAAGAAGGGGAAAAACUCGUAGUUGAAUCUUCCUCCUUCCUCCUAGCAUGUUCUUGCCUCCAAGGGCGAUGUAUAAUCCUAAAGUAGUGUCUCAUCCCCUCAAAGUGAUGUUUUAGGAUGUAUUUAUAUGACCUAGGGUUAAUGAGGGGGCGGAAUUCUUCAAUCCAACUUCGGAUGGGAGAGCAGGAAUCCGUGUCUGCCUUCGCAUCUAAACGUGGACUUUGACGUGGAUCCGUGUUUGCCUUCGCAUCAAGACGCGGACUUUGACGCGGAUCCAGCUUUUGAGAUUCUUCCAUUUUGCAGAGCGCUCCGUGUCUUUGCUUCGCUUUGCUAUUUUGUGCCUUAACUUUUCUCUUUUUUCGCCUCCGACUUCGUGCCACGCACGAGAAUAGACGAGAUCCCACUCCUUCAAUUUCUUCUUUUUUUGUGUUGAAUUGUCAUCUUUUAAUCAUUUAUCAUCCAAAUUCGUUCCUACACAUAAAAAAUACAUAAUGAGUAUAUUUCACUUCGAAAAUCAUGUAAUCUCUCGCGACAUACACAAGAAUUAAUAUGCAAAUAUACUCAAAAAUAUGCACUUUUCAUCAUUUAUCAACAUCCCGCACUUAAACUCUUGCUCGUCCUCGAGCAACUUAAAUUAAGCGCAUAGGCAAAUAACUCCUUUCAAAGCAUACUCAAGCAUCACACCAAUGACAGUGGUUUAUAUCAAGACUUAGAACUCGACAUAAGGACUCUUCCUACUCUCUUUAUUUUUAUACCAAUGCCAAGACUAUUUAAAAUAUUUGUGUGAUUCUUUUAGCAUCCUAACCUCAAAAAAUGACUCCACUACAUUCCUUUUUGUGACUCGCUUUUUGUGCAAACUAAAAAUACGAGUUCCUUACCAAUCUGUUGUAAAGCAUGUGCCCUCUCCAUCAAAACAAGUAGAGUAAUCAGUCCACAUACUCAAUUAUGAAUUCAAAAGGACUCAAAGAAUUAAAGAAUUCACUCACUCUCACAAAGAAAUUCAUGUGCCCCCAAAGCUCGUACCAUAGGCUUGCCUGUAAUGUAAGUCCCUACUAAUUUAAGCUCGCAAAGUCUAGGAUCAAUUAGGUCUUCAUGGGUUGUAAUGUAGGAUAUGGGACAGGUAGGAUAGAUAUGGACAGUAGUGACUAACCCUCCUAAGCACUUUUAAUACAAUACACAUUAACCUUUAAGCACAUUCUCUUCAUGAUCACUCAACAUAUUGCUAUGAAACCGUAAAUAACGUAGCCCAUUUACUUUAAGCACAUCUACGUAAGUACUAGCACAUAUCAAAGUGAAUUGGAGGAAUUUUUUUCCUUUUUUUACAAAACGCAUUUCAACACCCUCCAUAAAUUAGUAUUUCCAUCUAGUUGGUCUCUCAAUAUACACAUGCACCUUUUGGCCUUUCUAUGGUUCCACUCAAAAACUACCAAAUCUCUUUUCUUUCACUUCUAGUGACUUAAGUGCUUUCGGAGGUAAAGGUUCAACAAGAUUUCAUUAAGAACAAAAAGGAUUCGUCUUGUAAUGUGGGUACCAAAAAAAACUUUACAGACUCAAAUGGGCUAACAAAGGAUAAUAUUUUAUCACUAUUAGGCAAAUAGACUGAAGGAUCAAUCAAAGAAAUGCCUAUAUCAUUUUCUAAACUUACAAAACUUUAUUUCGCUUCGACUCACAUACGGGGCAAGUUCCAGACUAACAAGGGAUGGCACAGAAUACAACAAAAAUCUCACCUUACACAAUGCACAUGACGUACUCAGAACGGUUCAGACCCCACUCUCAAGUUAAAGCAACUAGCACAGUCAGGAAAUAAUCCAAACACUAGAAAGUAGCAACAUGAGCCAAUAGACGAACCCAAACGUCAAAAUAAAUACAUAUAUUCUCAAAGCAUGUAGUCACAAGAAUAAAUAAUAAAAUACUAAGUGCAAAUGCUCCAGUUCUAAGUCCCAACAUAAAACAUGUCAAAAAGCAUAGAUACUCAAGUUCUGUCCAUUCCAUUAUCAAGUGAAAAAAAUCUUUUUGUAUUUUUGUUUAGAUUUUAUACCCUCAAGAAAACUGUCUAGGAAGUCCAUCGUUGGGAAAAGUACAAAACUUUUUGAAAAUUCUACUUGAAAAAAAAAUUACUACCCGGUUCAAAUGUCAUCCCUUGGAAAAGAACCGUGGCAAUAAGAAAAAUCAAGAGGGAUUAUUUCUACAUAAGUUUCUUUUUUUUCCUUCUUUUUUUCUAACGCGCAUAAAAUAAUAUAACUAACAUAGAAAACUACCCAAACAGUCUCUUCACCGCACUUAAAAUUAUGCAUUAUCCACAAUGCACACCACAAAUAACAAGAGGGCGACAGAAACUCCCUGGUUGACCAAAGGUCAAAGCAUCAACAACUCAUGGGAUACUCAAACUUCUUCCAGACUUGGUCCUUCGUGCGUUACCUCACACUUAAUUCCAACCAUCUGAUUUCUGUUGCAUCCUUCCAAUAGCUUUAUUUUUCAUGUUCCUAAAAAAUCAAAAAUUGACACUACAAAAAUAAUACAAUCAUAAAAAUAAAAGAAAUGAAAUAUAUGAGUAAAGUUGAGUUGCCUCUCAAAAAGCAUUGAAUUUAACACCGCGGCACGAUGCGAAUCACUUUUUGUCUCCACCUCGAGCUUAUAAAUUGAACCCCAAGUUUUGCUUCAAGCUUAUGAUUAUGCUCUUGGGGCGGUACACAUUCUUGCGAGCCAAAAAUUAGAUAAAGUCUUAUGCACAUUUUGGCUCUCGACCGAGGAGUGUCACUUUUCCUAGGCAGCCUUGAGAAUUUCAAAAUAUAAGGCUCAUCUACCUCUUCCUUGGACUCAUUUUUAUGCUCAUAAGAAUCCAUUCCCUUUUCACCAUCUGAACAUAAUGUAGAAAAGUGCUUGGAAUGAGGUCUAACGCGCUCAAAUACAUGAAAUUCAUGAUUUUUGACCUCCUCAACACCAAUCACACUAGAGUCAUUUGUACCUUCAAUGUCCUUGGUAACUCUAGUGUUACUUCUUGAACAUCGGCAUACUCAAAUUCUAGAUGGAUAUAUUUUUGGCGUUCUACUCUGACCUCCUCCAUUAGCACCUCAAUUUUAUUGUCUCAUUCAUACUCUUCUUGACUACUAUUCCCAAUAUUGUCUUGUUGAGCAUUAAAUUCUUCAACUAGUUGACUCACUUGUGCAUCCAGGUUGCGAAUAGUAGCAUCUUGCCUUUGCAUGUGCAUAUGUCUUUCAUCAUUUUGUUCCACAAGGUACUUUAGCAUAUCUUUGGUCUCUUUUAGGUUAUUAUCCCCGGGUUCUUUGUUCCUAUUAACUUCACAAGAAAAAGUAGAACCAUCAAAGUAAGGGAUUGGGGAAAGAUAAGAAUAUAAGCACAACCAUGAAAGUGACCAUCUCGACCACCACACAUAUCAUAUAUAUUCCACACAUAAUAUUGAGUUGGUGCACAUAACUCGCUCUCAGGAAUAUUUAGACUAUUUUGACCCAAGUGGUUUCUGCCACGAUUCACACAAGAAAGAUCAAUAGUAGAGUUACCAACAUCGAAAUUCUCAUAAUUCCAGGAUGCCAUGUUUCUCAAAUUAACAAGUAAAACAAAAAUUUAAAAAUCAAAUAUAAAAAAUAAAAAUAAAAAAAAGUUCAAACUUGAAACCUAGCAAUAUGUAUAUCUAUAGCUAACCCCGGCAAUGACGCCAAAAUUUUGUCACGCCCAACACUAGUCCUAAAAAGGAUAAGUGGUCGUUGCAAAUAUAAUCUCGUCUAAAAGUCUGGAGUCGAAUCGCACAGAGAACUAAGGCUUAGCUGUAUCUCUUUAAUAUCACUAAGAAGACAAGAUUGAACAAUUUUCUAAAUUAUAAAGAUUGAGAUUUAUAUUUCUAACUAAUUAACUAACCAGUACUAGAAAAUGGUAAAAUUAUCAACUAACUAGACUAAAGGUUGGAGAAUAAAUUAAGGAGGUCUAGAGUUAUGAUUUUCCCAAAGUUUGGAUUCAUUCAUGCUUGUCUUAUAUACUUUCGCCUAAGUAUUCUCUAACGAUCGUGGGUAUUCUCUCUUGAGCAACUACCACAGUUUACUAGAUGUAUUCUCUCAACCACACAAGCUGACACUAAUUCACCGCCCACUACGAUCGCACCAAGGCUUCGUUAUCUCUAAUCUCGCAUUUAAACCCUUCAUAUUGAUCUCUCAUAUACGUUAGGACUGAUGUUGUUUAACAACUACCUAAAUAUAUACUCUCUCUUGAACAGUGUACACUAAAUAGGCACAGUCAAUUGAUGGUCAUUCAAUCAACAGCAACAAACACGUAAUUGAACAAAUAGAUAAAUUCAAAGGCUAAAUUAUAUGAAAACAUGAAAAUAAUUCAUCCUAAAAAAGGUUAUAUCAAAAUUGUAGAUAACAAAUUAGCUAUUCAUAAAAGUAUAUGAAAACACAAUAUUCAAAUUCAUAACCAACAAUAAAAAUAGGAAGAAGAAAGGGAAAAACUCGUAGUUGAAUCUUUCUCCUUGCUCCUAGCGUGUUCUUGCCUCCAAGGGUGUUUUAUAAUCCUAAAGUAGUGUCUCCUCCCCUAAAAGUGGUGUUUUAGGAUGAAUUUAUAUGAUCGAGGGUUAAUGAGGGGCGGAAUUCUUCAAUCCAACUUCAGAUGGGAGAGGUGGAAUUCGCGUCCGCCUUCGCGUCUAAGUGCGAACUUUGACGCAGAUCCAUAUUUGCCUUCGCAUCUAGUCGCAAACUUUGACGCGGAUCCAACUUUUGAGAUUCUUCCAUUUUGCGAAUCGCUCCAUGCCUUUUGCUUCGUUUUGAUGUUCUGUGCCUUAAGUUUUCUCCUUUUUCGCGUCCGACUUCGUGACACGCAAGAGAAUAGACGAGCUCCCACUCUUUUAAUUUCUUCUUUUUUUGUGUUGAAUUAUCGUCUUUUGAUCAUUUAUUAUCCAAACAUGUUCCUACACAUAAGAAACACAUAAUGAGUAUAUUUCACUUCGAAAAUCAUGUAAUCUCCUGCGAAACACAGUAGAACUAAUAUGCAAUUUUCAUCAUUUAUCAGGAACAACUGCAACUACUUUGUCUUCCAUCAAUAGAACAUACAUGAAGCAUAGGUCUAUACUAACUCACCAACAUAUGGUGGAUCUAUGUGCAGAAGUAACCAACCAAGAGAUUUUUGAGAGCCAUGAAGCAAUUGGUGAUGGUGAAGCUCCACGCAUUAAUGGCUUUAAUGCAGUUUUCUCCCAGAAAGAAUGGGACUUAUCAAUACAUAGAUCAUAUAUGCUGUGAAAAUGUUCUUUACAACUGGGAAGCUCUAUAAGUCCAUCAACUACACUACUGUUACAUUGGUACCUAAAGUGAACAAACCUACCACAGUCAAAGAGUACAAAUCAAUAGCUUGUUGUUCAAUCCUUUACAAGAUGAUCUCUAAAAUCUUGGCCUACAGAUUACAUAAUAUCAUGCCUUACAUCAUUUGCAAGUCUCAAGAAGGCUUCAUUCCUGGUAGAAAUAUUGCUAAUAAUGUCAUUUUAGCUUAUAAGGUAGUCAAAUCCUAAAUAAGAGCUCAUAUAUCUCCUACAUACAUGAUAAAGAUUAAUCUUCAAAAAGAUUAUGACUCAGUGGAAUGGAUUUUCUUGCAGCAGGUUAUGGAGGAGCUUAGAUUCCCUGACAGGUUUAUCAGAUGGAUCAUGGAAUGUAAUAAGACUGUCAACUAUACUAUUCUUGUUAAUAAGGAAACCACAGAACCAUUAAAUGCUUCCAAAGACCUUCGACAAGGGGAUCUUAUUUCCCCUUUUAUCUUUGCUAUAGUGAUGGAAUACCUGAGUAGAACACUGCAUGGGUUGAAGAAGGAAUCUGAACUCCAAUAUUAUCCCAGACGUAGUAUUUUUGGUAUCACUCAUAUGAGUUUUGCUGAUGACCUCCUUUUAUUUACUAAGUUCAACCUCUCUUAUGUGGCUACACUACACAAAUGAUUUACCCCAUUCUCUCAGGCAUCAUGCUUACAGGAUAAUCAAGGCAAAAGUUUACUGUAUUUGGUGGUGUAAAGCAAGCUGUGAAGGACCAGAUACUGUCACACCUGGAAUUUGCAAGUGGUUCUCUACCUUUCAAGUACCUAGGAGUCCAUUUGUCUGCAAAGAAAAUAGCUCUCAUACAGUGACAACCAUUGAUUGAAAAGAUCACAGUUAAGAUUUCCUCUUGUGCUGCUAAGAAGUUGUCUUAUGCUGGUCGUGUGCAGCUGGUCCAGUCCUUAAUCUUUGGUACGCAAGUAUACAGGGGUCAACUGUUUAUGCUAAGGUAUUGAAAAUAAUAGUGGCAUUAUAUAGAAGUUACAUUUGGGCUGGAACUAACACAAUAACCAAUAAGUCCUUAGUAGCAUGGGAAAAGAUCUGUACUCGCACGUUAGCUAGUGAACUUAACCUCAUCAACCUACCUCUGUGGAACAAAGACGAUAUUGCAAAAUCUUGUUGGGAGUAAGCUCAUAAACAGGACAAACUAUGGAUAAUGUAGAUCAAUGCAUAUUAUAUCAAACAUCAACAACUACAAUAAAUGCCUAUACCUCAGCAAGCCAGUUAGAUGGUGAUACAAAUAAUAGGAGCCAGAACAACAUUGUUGUAUACACAAAUUAUAUAUGAGGACAGGAAAAAUAUUAUUAGACAAAUAUACUUGCAGCUCCUAGGUGAAUUACCAAGAGUAAAUUAAAAAUGUCUAAUUUCUGCUAGGCCAAAGGCAGUCUUCUCUAUGUGGUUGUUACUACAUGGAAGAUUACAAACUAAAGAUAAACAAGCCAGCUCCAGAAUAAUUGUUACCCCUUAAUGUGUUAUGUGUCAAGAUCAUAAUGAAUCAAGGAAGCAUCUGUUUGUCACGUGCCCAUACAUUGUUGAACUGUGGAAGAAAUGAAAGUGAUGUCUUGGGUCCAAAUAUCACAUAUGCCUGCCAUUUUCUGGGAUCAACAUCUUCAGUUGAUCAUCAAUCAAAGAAAAGGGAAGUCAUAGAAGGCUAACAUCUUCAAAAUGAUCUAUGCUGAGGUUUCACGUUUAAUAUGGAUAAAGAGAAACACGUGUAUAUUUGAAAAAAAAUAUCGAAGGAAUGAUGUCCUGGUGCGCGAGAUAGCAUACAUAUGCGAUGCUAGAGUAUGUAGCUGCUCGAGAAGCUACAACAGUUUUGGCUAGGAACGUAAUAGUUGAAUAGUUGUUUUGUAUAUAGGUAUGGUUUGCUUUUGUUUUUCAUUUUGAGAUAGCUAGCUGAGUUAGUAUGACUAUGCCUUUGUACAUAUCUCCUUUGGUGAUUAAUACAAAAGAAAAUUAAUUACUUUAAAAAAAAUGUAAAACGGAGAAAAAAAAACGAUAGAUAAGUUAGCAUGGAGAGUCAACUGUAUCU